This 84646-nucleotide long non-coding RNA is filed under the name Cucumis sativus (cucumber). RNAcentral describes it as "long non-coding RNA (CSAT_LNC000096)". The stretch from base 38300 to 38371 matches the Rfam family "tRNA". Lineage: Eukaryota; Viridiplantae; Streptophyta; Magnoliopsida; Cucurbitales; Cucurbitaceae. The record is from RNAcentral.
AAAAUACUCUUAAAUCUUAAUUCUUGGAGUGCACUUCAGUGAUGUUUUUAGAUCUUAGGUCUUUUCAUUAUAAUAACAAAUGGUAAUUAACAAUUGACAUGAGUGAUUAUGUAGAAUUAUUGUUAUCAGGUAGAACAUUGACGUUUACAAAUUAAAUUUGUUAUUGAUUUCGACAUCAUUUUAGUUGAAGUAAAACCACCAACUUCAAGUUCAAGUUCAUUUCUAUCUUUCAUCUCUGGGGAAAAACUUUUCAAUUCAGUUAAAAGGUAUUUUUGUGGAUCAAUUUCAAAAUUCAAGAGUUCAUAUAAAUUUUUUCAAAAUGUUUCAAGAUUUGCAAGUAUUUUUAAUAAUCUAACCAGAGAGUACUAAAAAAAAACCAGAACUAAUCUUCAAAAGCAACUCCAAAACUACUUCUGAGAAGCACCAUUAAUCACAAAAGAGAGAAACUGUUUUACUAAAUCUUUUUCCUUCAUUUUCAUUCCCUUUUUUCAUCAGAAGACAGCUCUCCAUCCAUGGAAACAAAAAUCUCAACAGCCAACUUCUCUCUUCAAACACAGAAACUUCACAAAACAAAGAGAAGAAUACAAACAUAAAGAAUAAAAUCCUAAUCAACUCAAGCAACCAAAGCAGUAGGAAAGUUCAAAGUUUCCACCUUUGUUUUUCCAAACAAACUUUUACAACUUCUAAGCUGUCCAAAUUGGUUGCAAAUCCCAAUUCUUGCCGUUGAAAAACUCAUUGCCAUUGUCUUCUUCAUCUUCUUCCACCUUCUUCCCAUCCUCAACUUAAACUUCCUUAUUCUGAUUCUUAGACAUGAAGGUCUUCUCUUACUGCCAUUACUUGCUUGCUCCAUUAUCUUGUAAAUCAAGAACUGAGCUUGUCUAUGCUUUUUCUCAUCUGGGUCUUCCUUCUCCAUCUUCGAAUAACCACCAUUUCUCCUUACUGUCAUUAAAACACUCAUGUUUUUCCUCUGCUAAAACAGAGCCUUUCAAAAACAGAGGAACUCCUAAACAAAAAUGGUAGGAAGUUCAGUUAGAAUCAAACACAUAGAUUCAUUUCACAAUGGCUAAUCCUUUUAUAUUCAUGAAAAGAAUGAGAGAGAAAGGAAUGUAACUUGCUUUGAUUUGUUAAAUCAAAGAAAAAGUUAAAACAGAGGAAACCGUCCAUGCGUCAUUCUUUUCUCAGCGAAAACCUACUCUUAUUGUUUUAUAAAUGUAUAUUUUAUUAAGGUUUUCUAAGUUUAAUAUUUUUAAGAUAAGACUUGAAUCCUAUGGUGAGAUUAAAUAAAAUCAAAACUCUGUUUAAUUAGAGUUGUGACAAAAUGGAUCGUGUGUAGCUGAAUUAUUGUGGUGCCAUUUUAGAGGUUUCUUCUUGUAAUUCUAUAGUGGUUGAACAAUUUAUUAUAUUAAAUAAGGUUCAACUUUCUUUAAAUAUCUUGAAAGUGUGUGGAGAAUUGAAAAUUAAAAAUAACAAUGUCAACUAUUUAUGGGACUCAAUAAAUAUACAUCCAUAUUUUGAAAUAUAUUCAAAUAAACCAAAACAAAAUAUAUUCUUACUUAUAGAAUUUGAAUACAAAUCUCUUAACCCUUAGUACUUACUAAUGACAAUUGAGUUAUGUUAUUGUUAACACGUAAACUUAUUUGUUUAACUGUUAUCUACAGAAAUAGCAAAGCAGACAAAUAAAAGAAACUACCCAAAUCAAAAUGAUAGUCUGCUAUUUUGGACUGCAAUAUUUAUUUUGUUCAUUUUUUAUCAAUCUCUAAACUAAAAUAAGACAAGAAAAGAAUUUCGAAUGGAGUCAUUGUGUAAAGCAUGUGAUUGAAUAGACAGAAUAAUGAUACUUCUGGAAACACAUAAACUAAUGCAUUAUUUGGUAUAACUCAUGGUUUGGCAUUGAAGAAAAGCAUAUAAUAAACUGAAUAAUUUAUUGUAAGAAACUAUGAACCAGCUGCCAAUAGAGGCAAUAAGUAAGCCAAGCCGUCCGAAUGAAGAGACAAUGAACCCAUGUGGCAAUAUUUAAUUAGCCGAAUUGGUCACCAGCUGGUGAGAUUAAAAAGUCAACAGAUCGGACGUGUGAAGGCUGUCAUGUGUAGAACAGACAGAGACCUGGCCGAUGCCUGCAGGUUUCUUGAAGAGUCAGUAGAACUGUUGAAAAUGUUUGAUAAAUGACUUCUACUUUCAUUUAUUCAGUUUCCAUUGUUAAGACUGAUUCAAUGUGGCUUUCAUGUUUGGAUCAUCUAUCUUCACACUGCUGUGAUAUUACUCCUGCUACAAUUCUAAUGAAUCCGAAUCAUGUUCUAACUUGAUCAUGUUCGCAAAAUCAUUUUUCCAUAUGAUGCUUUGCUACUUACAUCACACCAUUAUGAAAGCGACAAUGAAAAAAGCAAGAAAAAAUGUAAAUAGUGAAACAAUCUAUAUAGAAAUUUACGUGGUUUACUAAUAGUAUAACAACUAUAUUCAUGAGUAGAAGAAAACAACAGUUCAUUAUUAGAGGAAAUUAUUUGUAGCACAGAACGUCUUUAUGUUUAGAAGUUUUAUUUAUAGAGUGCUCUUCUAGAUUCUGGUCAAACUCAUAAAUAAUGCACAAAUGAAAACAAAUUAGAUUUCAAGAACUUUAAUUAUUAAAUAACAGAUUCAAGGUAUUCCGGUACAUAUUUUGAUACUAAAUGACAUUGGAGAUCUCACAUCUCUUCGUAAUUUAUCAUAUUUUUCACUUCAAAUUAAACUAAGGUAAAUGGUUCAAUGUGAAACAAUAUUAGUAUUCUUACCACCCAUCUUAGUAUUAAAGAUAUUGACUUGGAAAUAAAAGUUUAUGCCCCAUGUUCAAUAAGAAUGGAGCAUAGGAUCCUCAACCAUUAAUAUACAUUACUUUUUUCCACAAUGAAUCGUUCACAAUAAGUUCAUGAGGAACAUAAAAAAAUGAAAGUUGACCAAAUGAUAGAGCUUUCAGCAUCAGAUUCCAGACUAGAAUUAUAUAUUUUUGACAAACAAAGCACGCUCUUGGGCUUCGUAUUUUGUAUUUGCUUUUUUCUUCAACCAUGUCAUCUGCAGGCAUGCUUCUUAUUUUUUUCAAAUAAACAACCAAAGUUAGUGAAAGGAUGAUGUCUGUUUGAUGCUUAAGGGCUUAAUGAUAUUAUAUUUACUUCCUAAGGCAUUGACUUUUGAGUAUGUUGAUGCUUGCAAUGACACAGACAAGUAACAUUGGAUCUGUCAAGAAAGAUUAUGUGUUUAUUUCAAUGUACAUGUCAACAUUAUUGUUGAUUAAUAUUUGUUGUAGACUUUAGUAAAGAAGAAGCAUGUUGAUUGUUUUGUUACAAGCCUGUUAGACAGGAUUUGAUUACAAGAUGGCAUCUAGAUUCUUGUAGAAUUGCUUGGAUGGAUAUUGGAUAAUGUUCUGCUCUGUUCAAUUUCUUUAGGGUUUAAAAACACUAGAUUCGUGAAUCCUUUCCAGAUAAAUUGAAUCUAGGCCAGCUAUGUCUUAUCUCUACCCAAUUAAUGACAACCAAUUUGAUAUAUGUAUCAACAAUUUAGUUUUUAAGCGGAGUUUUCAUUUAGUUAAGGUAGAUGAGAUAUGCAUGCAAACUUAGAAGUCAAAUUCCUUGGAGUUGAUGUCAAACCAUAUCUAUCAAAAUGUAAACAAUCUUAAGAGAUGAACAGAUUAUUAGUAAGUGAAAAUUUUAUAUAUGAACAAGUCUGUCUCCCAGACCGAACUGAAGCUAGUAACUGCCUACUACAAGUUGAUUGAACACUCAAAACUAUUUACAUUCUGCUUCUGCUUUUUAGAGGCAGAAGUAUAUAGUCCAAGCAGGAAGAUGAAAGCUUGUGGGACCGAUUGUGCUAAAUAAUCUAAUCUUUCUCAAGAUGAUCUAACCUUUAAAUAUUUCUUGGUUUCAACCUAACCCACUGAUCCUUCAAGUUUCAAGCUCAUGAGUUGGUUCACCUCGGCACCAAAUUCAUCAGGUAGCUCGUUGAAGACAUCACGACAGAAUCCAGAUAUCAUGGCAGCCAUGGCCUUCUCAUAGUCUAUUCCUCUCUGCUGAAAAUAAAACAACUGAUCUUCACCAAUCUUGGAGGUACUGGCUUCAUGUUCAAUGCGAGCUGUGGGAUUCUUCACCUGUUAGAAACGAGAUUCUGAGUUAUUUUGAUGACUAGGAGAAUUUGAGAAGUAAAAUUAGUACAAAUUUUAUAAGGUUUGCUCAUCCCAAGAAUUUCAUCUUCCAGCAGUUUUUGGCUUAUCCCUACAAGGCUAGCCUACACAUAUGUUUUUACUACUAACAAACAUUUUCUCCUUUAUUACAGGCUUCUUUUUUUCCAUUACUGCAAUUUUCGAGUUUCAAAAUCAGUUCACACACCUCUCAACGGAUCAUACUAGGCAAGCAUUUGAUCCAAGAACGAGAAAAAACAACGAUAAUAAGAAGCCCCACAGACCUACACCAAACACAGGGUUCUAGAGUCUAUCUAGAUUCUAUACAAGCACUUCUUCAAAACUGACAAGGAUAAAGAACCCUCUAUUAAAAGAAACAAAUAAAAUAUAAGUAUACCCUCAAUCUCAUAUCAAGUAUAUGUACUCAAAAUUUUCUAAUGAUGAAGAAAACUACGUCAAGAAUGCCAUUUUGAAUAAACAGAGGCAUAUAAGGAUUCAAAAUGAGUUUAAGCUGCCCUUCUGUGUCAAGUCUUUAAGUCGUGCAAUCAAAACAAGCACUUGAUUGAAAAAGAUGGCAGCAAAUGCAUGAAAAGAUUUUCGUUUUCUGGAGAAAUUUCAGAGAAACCUUGCUAUUACUUCCAAAUUGUUUUCUCAUAGAAAGGCAAACUGAUAGAACACUGAUAUAGUGUCUAUGUUUAUGGAUAUCUCAGUGAAAUUACAAUAUGAAACUAUUGAGAUUCAGUACAGAAUGAAUCACGAUUACAAGCUCUCAAUAACAAACAAACAAUAAACAAACCAAGAAUAAUUGAAAUGCUGAUAAGGAGAAAAGGAACCCUAAACCUCUGCCCCUUCCUUUCUUCCAAGGAAUGUUGCACUCUUCACUUAACCAAAAAAUGCACACCCUUCCCUCUUUCCCAUUUGCCCUCUUAUACAACAUAUUUCUAACUAACUGUGGUCCCCUAUCUCCCUCCCUCACUGCCUAAGUUCCCUUCACACGUGCUUCCUCUCUCUUACCCAUUCUGCUAUAUUGUAGAAUAAUAGGAUGUCUAUCACAAACAUUCACUGGUUACUUGUUCGUCGGUGGCUUUAACUUUCAAGAAAAACAGUUGAGAUCAGUUUUAAAAAGGUGAUUUUUUGUUUUUUGGACAAAGGUGCAAGUAGAAUAGGUUAGUGAUGUAGUUAUGAGAGAAGCUUCUGAGAGAUUGCUGUUUCAAAAAGAGUAGUCAAAUGGUCAUUUGAGACUCUUUGAACUGUUGGUAUAGUACAAAAAUCUUGAGAUCAAAUGUUUAGGUUGUAUGGUGUUUUCCAAGACUUGGCCAAUAGGACAAAAACUCAGUUCACCACUUCUCUUUAAACUUCCAAUAUGGGAUUUGAUAUAUAUUCAUAAUGCACAUGCAACACACCAUGCAUAUAAAUGGAUAAGGGGAGCACGAUUGCAGGUUUAAGUCCUUGGGAGCCCUUAUGUAUAUCUUGUAUUUGUGAUUGGACUUUCUAGUCCGAAUUCUAUGAUAGAUAACCCUUAGCACUACUGUGUCUAGUAACCCCACCACCACACACAUACACAAACCCAAGAAGAAAGGGGAAUACAAUACAAUAAAAGAUCAUCAGCCAUCCAGGUACAUAAUGAAACCAAGGGUAACCGUAAACAUUUUUAAUUAAAGAUGUGAAAACAAACGAACCAUAACAUCAAAGGGAAUUACCUGGAUGUAUGGAUAAGUGUUGGCAGCAGCAUUGUCGCCAAUGAGCAUUGAAUCACAUUGUGAUGAGUUUUUAGCAUUGUCUGCUUUGGAUUGAACCUGAACAAGCCCCCUGUAACAGUUCCUUGAGUUUCCAGCAGAAAUUCCUUUUGAGAUAAUUCUACUUCUUGUAUUCUUUCCUUUAUGAAUCAUCUUUGUACCCGUGUCUGCUUGUUGAUAAUUAUUCGUCAGUGCUACUGAAUAGAACUCACCAACAGUAUCAUCUCCCUCCAAAACAACACUGGGAUACUUCCAAGUAAUCGCAGAACCUGUUUCAACUUGUGUCCAAGAUAUCUUAGAACGAUCCCCAGCACACAGGCCACGCUUUGUUACAAAAUUAUACACCCCUCCCUUUCCUUCUUCGUCACCAGCAUACCAGUUCUGAACAGUGGAGUACUUAAUCUGUGCUCCUUCAGCACAAUACAAUUCAACCACCGCAGCAUGAAGCUGAUUUCUAUCAUAGGAAGGCGCUGUACAUCCCUCCAAAUACUCUACAAAACUCCUGUCAUCAGCAACAAUCAAAGUUCUCUCAAAUUGUCCAGUUUCCAAAGCAUUGAUUCGGAAAUAAGUGGAAAUCUGCAUCGGACACUUUGUGUCCUUGGGUAUAUAACAAAACGAUCCAUCACUGAACACCGCCGAGUUCAAUGCAGCAUAAAAGUUGUCCUCGCUCGGCACAACUCUCCCCAAGUACUUUCUAACUAAAUCAGGAUAUUCCUUAAUUGCCUCUGAUAUCGAACAGAAAAUUACACCUGCUUUUUCCAGCGUCUUCCUAUGAGUAGUAGCAAUUGAAACACUAUCUAGAACAGCAUCAACCGCAACAUUAGCUAGACGGUUGCGUUCAUUUAAUGGAACCCCAAGCCUAUCAAAAUACAUAAGCAGCUCCGGGUCCGCCUCAUCAAGGCUAUUCAAAGUGGGUUUCUUCUUAGGGGCAGAAUAAUAACAAACAUCUUGAAAAUCAAUCGGUGGGUAUCGAUUAUCAGACCACGUGGGUUCUUUCAUCUUCAAGAAUUUCUCAAAAGCAUUCAACCGAAACUCAAGCAUCCAAUCGGGUUCUUCUUUUAGGGACGAAAUCAAUCGAAUUGUUUCCUUGGAAAGCCCUUUUGGGAUUGAAAACGAAUCGAUGUCCACAGUAAACCCAAAUUUCCUAUCGUAAUCGCGAUUACGAAGAAUAUCCUGAAUUUUCUCAUCAGUAGUGGUAGAAGACGGAGAAGACUUACCUUGAGAAAUCGGACCGGAGUUGGCAGUUUUGGGAUCGUAUCCAACAUCUGCUCGGACCCUGAAAGGCUUCGACUUGGAAAUCUUCAGGUUAGCGAUUCUGGGACUGUGAAGCUUUGGGAUUGCGUCUUUAUGUAAUUCCCAAGUGGGGUUAUGAGGAAAGCGUGAAAUUCCAUUAGCUAAGAGAGAAGCCAUGGAUGAAAGAUAGAGGGGGAGAGAGAGGAGAGUCGAUGCGCAGCAAAAAUCGGUGGCCUAGGCGAAGCUAAAAAGAGUAAUAUUUUCUGGCCAUAAGUUUUGUUAGAACAUCUUCAACAAAUGGCAAUUGGAAACGAUAUGUCAUGUGGGCAACACGAGCCUUGAGAUUACUGGAUAUCAAUGGCCACACCGAAAGAGAAAGAAAACCCCAAGACGCAAGUACAAUUUUAAAUUAAAAUUUAGUAUCUAUAAUUCUAAAUAUUAUAAUUAAAACUGAUAAGAUUUUUUAUAAGGCAAUUUUACUAUUCUAUUGAUAAAGAUGUUAUCAAAUUAUUGAAUUGAUUUUAUAUAUAGACUUAAAUCUAACUUUCUACCGAAUUAAACCAAUUUUGUAAUUUUAGACUAGAUACAGCAUUGUUUAUGCCUAAAGCUACUAUUCUUGAUUUCAAGAUCAGUAGAUCAGUAAUGUGCAUCAGAGAAUUCUAUUAUACUUAUGUUGACAUUUCAGACAUCUAAAGCUCUGCAUCGAUGUAUCAGAACUAAAAGAACCAAAAGGUUGAUAGCCCGUCUGUUUUUGUUUUUUAAUUUAAUUUAAGAUAAAAUAGGUGAGUUUGUAUCUAAUGCAACUUUAAACAAAAAAAAAAAACUUGUUAUGAAAGUUGUGAAGGAAAAAGAAAAAACUUUAACAAAAUCCAUUUUGUAUUAAAAAAAAGGAAAGAAAACAAAAUGAAUUACCAAACAUAUAUAAAAACAGAAACAAAAAAUUAAAAUAGGGUACCAGACGGGACCUAGAGAAUUGUCCAAUGGUAAAUCAAACAAUAAAAACCAUUACCAUCAAACAUAAAUUAACCGCAACAAAAUCUUACAAACUAAAUAAGGUUGAAAAGUAGUAAUCCUAAGUCAAGACCCACAUGGAAAAGUGUUCAUACCACAGCCAUACAAUUCAAUAAAAUAGGACAAUAUAGUUGUAGCACAAUUUUCACAAGUACUGAAGAAAACAGAAACGGAAAAAACAAAAACAAAACACAACCCCACAGCGGCCAUAAAUUUGCUAGGGAUGAAUUACUUGUCAGUGUUUAAAUCAGUAUAAAAUGCAAUACUCAUAAGCAAAGGCAAAAAGCCUCCAGAUUCUCUCUCAUCAAAAGACCAAAAAUGUAGUGAUAGAAAAUAAACGACACAGAGUCGUAAUAAAACUUCUGCGGGAUAACAUAAUAAUAAAUAAAAAAGAAAAGAUGUCUCAUGUCAUCAAAGAGUUUAGGUAGAACAGAAAAUAGGAAAAGGAUGAGUUCUUCAGAAUGGAUGUAAUGGGAGGGUGAAAUAACUUUGCCAAAAUCUUUAACCAUCAUAUCCCCGGGAGAUUCGGUAGGGGAGCGGCCACGGCAGAGUAAACAAAACUUCAAAUCUACAUGUAUCCUCCUUGCUGCUGCUGCUGCGGUUGUUGUGGGGGAGGCUGCUGGUAAUUUCCAUACCCACCAUAGCCACUGUAGAACAUAUUAGGGUCCUGAGGAGCUGGGGCAUAGCUAUAGUUUUCGUAUCCUUGUCCAUAUCCGUAAUAGCCACCUCCAUUCCAUUGGUUAGGGUCCGCCUGUGGCUAAAAAGAUGAGAAAAUAAUGAACAUUCGGAAAGAACUAUAAUCAAUAACCAUCAACGGACACAAAGAGUACAAUACCACAACCUGUUUAUUUGAAGGACUACGUCCCCAUGAGAGUCUAAUGUUCUGUCCACCAAUUUGUGUUCCAUUCAACACACGUAGCGCUUCCUCAGCACAGUUCCUAAUAACAAAAUUGAAAUAACCAUCAAAUGUGUCCAAGCCAAUUCAGGAGAGAUUAAGAUGUUAGGUUACAUUUGUUAGAACUACCAAGCUGUUUCAUAUUUUUAAAAGAAACAAAAUACAAACCUGUCAGCAAAUUGAACGAAACCACAUCGUUUGCCUACAGGUAUCUUUACAUGCACCAAUUCCCCAUAUUGACCAAAUACUUGUCGCAAGUGUUCGUCUGUCACGUUAGCAUCCAAAUUGCCCACAAAUAUCUGCAAUAGGAUUUCAGAAGUUAGAAAACUCAAAUAAAAUUACAUGACGAAGGAAAAAUAAGGUAAAGAACCCACAGUCGUAUUGUUUGGAUCAUUCUCAUUCUGAGCCCCUUGAGGAUUCUGAUAUGAAGCUGCAAUAGUAAAAAAUCAAACCUAAAUGAACUUGCUCUUUAACUUGAACCAACCAGUUCAGCAGUUGUUAAACACACAAUAUCAAUUAUUCUGCUACAGUCCAAGCUUGCAUAAAUAAUAUACAUCAAUGCAAUAAGCAAUGUGUACUGAGAAAUAAAAAAUAGAAUCCACAAGACCUGCAUAAACACUGUGUGCUCCACUUAUAACAAAUCAAACCUCCAACCAAAUAAUUCCAUAGCUGGUUGGCUUAGAGGGCUGUUGAACUAGGCUCAAUGCCAUAUGUUGCAUGUUCAAAAAAGACUCCAACAACAAAAUUGAAACACAAGCAAAUUUUGAAUUACAGAGUCACACUGUUUUAAAUGGUUCGAUGCAACCUAAAGUCGGCUUCAUUAUAGGGGGAAAAACCAGAGGCAGUAGGUAUAACGGGCAACAUAGAAGUACUCAUAUUGAGAAAUCACGAAGAAUACCAAAAUAACAAGAACUACAAAAGAUAUCCAGAAAAUUACGUACAUAGGAAGUCCAUUUUCACAAACAAAAUUGGGAAAUUUGAAAAAUAUACAUUAGAGCGAUAUUUGUUACAAAAUAGCAUAACUAGAAGACAAGUACCAAUUUCAACGUGUGCCCUAAGAAAUAUAAAACUAGACAAUAUUUCAAAUAGAAGUUUUGACAAUCCAUAAAGGCACAAUCAUAAUUAUCUAAUGAUGAUCACCAUACGGCCAAAAUAUAAAAAAAGAAAAUAAACAUGCUCAUUUCAACAUAGAAUGUAAAUUUGAAAAACAUAGAGAAACACAUUAUUAAAAAAGAAAUUGACAUAAUAAAGCUUUUCAUCAUAAAAAACUAGAUAUCACAACUAGAGUACCUAACUUCAGACUCAAACAACCAUAUUAUGCCAUUCUCAGAAUCCACCGCACCUAACUUGCACAACCAUUCACAUAAAAGUGAUUCACACAACGGAACAGAAUAAAACAAUUAAUAGGAUCCUACUUAAAAGAACAAAGAAAGUAUACCCGAACAUAUCUAUGUCCAAUUCAAAACUUUAGAAGAUGAACGAAAUAUUCUAAAGGAAUGACAAAAUGAAUACCAAGAUACACAACAAAAAACUAGUAAGAAAUAAGACUCCUAAGAACCCUAAUAACACUAAGAAACAUGACUUUGUGCUGACCAAAAUUCUUUUGCAGGUAAUGGGUUGGACACAUAAAUGAGAUCCAAUCAUCAAAUACUGAAAUGAAACAAUAGGAAGGUAAAACCAUAUAACCCUAAAUGCCAGGAGGAGAAGGACAAGCACAACCCUAAGUGGCCAGCAAUAGCCGCAAGACAUACUGAAAUUUCAAUAAUGAAACUGGCUAAAGAACCUGCGUACCCUAAACUUAAUAAAGAAAAAAUAAAAACUUCCAACGGAAUUAAGACUGAAAUACCAGGGAGACAAAAAAAAUACCCAUGCAGAUGAUAGGAAAAGGUAAACGUUGCAGAACUAAAGGUGAAUUAAAAACCGUAGCAUAAAUAUGCCACAUAAAAAAAAAGAGGUAAGACAUUGGCGGGAAAAAAACUGACCUAAAUGGAACAACGUACUAAAGGGUAAGCAUGUCAGCUGAAAUCAGUAGCGGACCCCAAGCUGACAGAGCCUUUUGACACCCUGCUUAAAGAAAAGAGGAGUUUUAUAAGUUUAUUAAUUCUUCUUUAUAGUACUUAAAAUGACCAAAGCUCGAAUUGGAAGUACACGAUGGAAAGGCAUGAAAGGCUACUAUUCUUCCAAGGUAUACGAGAGGGGAAUUAAAAUGCUAGAAACUAGUAAUAAAAGUAACGGAGAGGAGCUAAAUCAGGACAGAAAAUAAGAAUUGUGUCUGGCCAUAAGAAAGCAAAAUGCAUCCAGAAACACAAAUCAGUAAACACAAACGGCACAUCCAUACAAUGAAUGAAUGAUGGACAAGCUAUUCCAUACAAAAUUUGAUGCCCUGUCUUUCAUUUAAAAUGUUCCAGUUUGGGGAGGAAUUCGUAUUUACUUUUCGAGAACUGCUGACCGCCAGAAGUGUUCUUGUUAGCUGCUGGUCCGAUUCGCAUGGGUCUGGAUGAACAGUGAACACCGUUCAUCUCAGUCAUUGCUCGCAUUUGUUCAGACUCGUCCCCAAACUUAACAAAUCCAUAACCCUUAGUGCGUCCAGUGAGCCUAUCAAUCACAACUUUAGCGCCCUUAACUGAGUUAUAGCGUGCCCUAAAUGUUUCUUGUAGCACAUAAUCAGUAACAUCACCAGCCAAAUCUCCCACAAAAAUAGUGUAAUCAGGAGAGUCAUCUUGUCGCUUCUCCCCUGCUGAUGCCCAGUUCAAUCUAAAAUUUUGAGCCCCAUUGGGCAUGGCGGUGCCAUUAUAAGUUUGAAGUACUCUUUCUGCAGCUGGACGAGUUAAAAACUCAAUAAAACCGUAACCCUCGGACUGGCCGGUUUGCUUGUUCCGAAUCACUUUCACAGAGGAAACCUGGAGAGACAAACAAUGUUAAAUCUCAACAGCAAAAAAAAAAACGAAAUUUCGGAACCGCUUCAUAUAUACCAACAUGUGUGUAGACAAAUCUUUAUGCAAUCAACCUAAUAAUCACAAAACUAGAUCUUUUUUUUCCCAACAACAACGAUAAAAAGAAAUAAUAAAGACACACACACACAAGAUCUAAAGUGGGUGGCGUUCUUAGACGUACCUCGCCAGUAUGAGCAAAACAAUUAAAGAUAUAGUUCUCGUCCAUCCAGUACUGCAAGUCUCCGAUCCAGAGGGUACGAACCUCAUCCCCGUUGGCAGACUGAGGGGGUUGGCCCUGUGGGGAACCGGCCUGUGGCUGCUGAGGCCACAUCUGAGGAACAGGCUGAGGUUGGGGCGGCUGAGGGGGCAUCAUCAUGUAAGGAGGUUGCUGUUGUUGGUACUGAGGGGCCUGGUGAGGCAUGUUGUGAGGGGCAACACCAGGUGCAGGCUGCAUGGUAAUGGAGAAAGGGAUAAGAGAAUCUCCUUAGUGAGGAAAGAAGGAGAAAGAAGAAGAGAGUUUUGAGUGUCUCGUCUGGACAAAGAGAGAAACCCUAACCCUAGAAGCCGAUAAUGGGCGAAAAGGGAGGAAACAAAGAGAAGGGGGCCAGUGGGGGAAUCGAUUACAUUUAUCGUUUUAAAAAAGGAAAUAAAAUAAAAAUAAUUUGUUUGGUACGUUUUUACUUAUCCCAAAAACUCACCAAACCUUUCACAUUUGGAUUCACUUAGAACAAAGAAAAUAAAAUGUUUUUCUUUUUUUCUCUACAAAUCGUUAAACAUUUCUAAAUACAUCUGUCAUUUUGUUUUAUGUUUUCUAUUUCUUCUUUUCAAUUUUGAACUCUGCUUUUUAAAAUAUUUGGAAACUUGAAUUCUAUUUUUUGAAAACGGUUUUCCAUUCGUAUUUGUAGAUAAACUAUUUUCGGUCUAUAAAAUCGUCAUAUUUUUUAUUUAAUACUUUUUUUUUCUAAACUACACAGAAAAAUGUAUAUAAACUUUUAAAUGUUUUAGAAAAGGUUCUUAAAACUUUCAAAAAAUAUGUUUAUUGUUAUGAGAUUUGGGUGGAGAAUGAAGAAAGAAGAAAGUAUGAUUACUUAACAAGUUAAUAUCCAUUAAUCAUUAUUGUUACUUUUAAUUAUUAGUUAUAAAUUACUAUUUAGACUUAAUAAACUUCAACAAAUACAUUACUUUAUAUCAUGUUAACUAUUUAAUAUAAGAGAUGGGUCGAAACUGAACCAAAUCCAAGUCAAUAGACCGUAGCUAAUCCUUCACUUGAGGCAUUCGACAUAGAUCCAUUAAUCUAAGAAAAUUCCACAAAUUGUUCUUCAACAAAUCGUGAAUCUAUUCUUCAAGAAAGAGAAUGUGUCAUAUUCAUAUUUGAUUGACCAUCUCUAGCGAACAAAUCAUUUAUUCGUUUUCAACAAGUUCACCAUCUAUUCUUCAAAUGAAUAUAUCUUAUUUUCUUCAACAACUUUGUCGUAUAUGCAUCAUCUACAAAUUGAAAAAUGAACUUUUCAAAUGUUUGAAAACUUCGACUAAUUGAUCGACUUUUCAUCAUAUAAAAACUGAAGACUGAUAUUCUGAAAAUUUUGAAGACUUCAUCAAAUUAAUCGUUUUUUCACCAUCUACAAGUUGAAGAUUGAUCCUAAAAAAGAUCAACAGGUCCAACGACUCAUAAUAGAAGAAGAUCAACAAACUUAAAAAUUGAAUUUUAUAUAUUUAAGAGAACAUACUAGACGGUAAAAAUUAAAUAUUGUAAUAUUUGCAUUUUCACAAAUAAAAUUUAUUUGGUCAAAAUCUCGUGUUAACCCAUAGUUUUUUCUAUAAAAGAGUGACAAUGAUGAUAAUCACAAACGAUAAUGGUAGCAUUAGUGUUUAUCAAUAGGAUGACAACUUAUUUAGACAUGUGCUCUCCUUGUAUUAUAACAUAAUUAAACAACACUAAACAUAAUCACAUGAAUCCUUUUUAGAUCACCGUUGAUUCAUUAUUCGUUGAACAUGAGUAAAACAUGUCUUAUUUUAAUAUAUAAAAAUAAUUAAAUAAGAAAACCACCUACUAAAUUUUACUUUUUGCUCGAGUAACUCGAAUUGAGUCAAGUCAAAUAUUUCAUGGUUGAAUUUUGUUGGAAUUUUUAACUAAAAUUAUUUAGUUUGAAGAAAUCUACAACCCAAUAAAUGAAUAAGCAUACAACACAACUCAAGCCACAAAUACUAAUUCAAAACCAAGCACAUGAAGUCCAAACAGUACCAACCACACACCAAUAUUAGGUCUUCCUAUUAAAUUCAGUAUUAUAAGCUAACUUAUUCCAAUCUCCCACAAUGUCUGGAAAAUAUAUUUUCUCUCUUUGGAGGUGAAGAGAUUUGAAUGAAGAGCCAAUACUUCACAUGAAAGUUCCAUUUUCAUUAAGACUGAUCACUUUUGGAAGAUUUUAGACAUUGUAUCUUUGGCAUUAGUCCAGAAAAGAAUUCAAUUCGCAACAUUAGUCCAAAUCCAUUUAUGUAUUUAUUUAAGGAUGAAAUUUAAACUUAAGCGAACUUGUGUUUAUAAACUCGUAUAAGGCACAAAAUUGAAUCUAGCAAGUUGGAAUUAAUCUAUUAAUGAACUGUUGCAUAAGGCGCAUAAUAGGAUUAAGAAAUUUGGAAUUAAUCUAGUAAUGGCUAACCGAUUUUAAUUAAACAAUGAAUACACCUUCAAUAUUGUACAAGCAAAAGUUGAACAAUUUCAGAAACCAAACGUCUCAAUGGUUCGACGACAAUUCCCAUUGUACAGUAAUACUAUGAAAAAACAUAACAAACAGUUUCAAGCCAGAAAAAGUGAAAUAGGGUAGAGAAACAUCAGCAAGAACAUAAGUAGUAAGUAGUUAACCCACGUACAGCCUUUAACAAGGACUUGAGAAAAUUACAAGAUCAUUCAACUCCUACCAUAAUAGAUAUGAUCAUAUGAAAAGAAACAAAUAACACAACACGCAAAAACCUCUAACGCCAAAUACAACACACAACUGACAUCAAGUCAACGGAGUCAUACAGAAUAUUUGUUUAGAAUAGAUGAGAGAGUAACAUCUCCAAAAUCUUCUACAAAUGACAAGCAGAAGUUUAGGGUCUCAUUCGAAUUGAGAGGUGAGGCAAGAGAAAUAGAACUUGUCAUCUACAUAUAUCCACCUUGUUGCUGUGAUGGCUGCUGUGUUGCUGGUUGCUGGUAGUUCCCAUACCCACCAUAGCCACUGUAGAACAUGUUAGGGUCUUGGGCAGCUGGAGCAUAGCUAUAAUUUUCAUAUCCUUGUCCAUAUCCAUAAUAUCCUCCUCCUCCACCUCCUCCUCCAUUCCAUUGAUUAGGAUCAGCCUGAGGCUGUAAAUUUAAAAUAGAGGUCAAUAAAGCUAAUAUAUUAUUUGCUUUAAUGAAUACAAGAAUACAAGUGAAGCACAAUAAUAGUACCUGUUUGUUAGAAGGACUACGACCCCACGAAAGUCUAAUGUUUUGCCCACCAAUUGGGGUUCCAUUCAAAAUGCGCAAAGCUUCCUCGGCGCAGCUUCUAAAAUAGUAUUAAGGAAAACAAAAUACAAAACUCAUGAGCAAAUGAACACCACAUGAUGGGAAGAAGGGGCGUAGGUGUCAUGAAAGCUUUUGAAAAUACCAACCUGUCUGAAAAUUGAACAAAGCCACAUCGUUUGCCUGCAGGAAUCUUAACAUGCACCAGCUCUCCAUACUGACUGAAUACUUGUCUCAAGUGCUCAUCAGUGACAUUAGAAUCCAAAUUCCCCACGAAUAUCUGAAACAAAAUCAAAUAAUAACUCAUAAAUACGUCCAUGAGAUAAUAUUGCUAUUGAAAAUUAUUGGAGUACCCACAGUUGUAUUAUUUGGAUCGUUCUCAUUCUGUGUGCCUGGAGGAUUCUGGUAUGAAGCUGCAUUUGAAAAUAUUAAACUAAAAUGACAUCUUCUAUCAACAUGAACUAAAAAAAUCCUUAGAUCAUUUUUACCCAAGUCAUUAUCAUGUUGCAUUAUCGUUAUGGUAAAUAAUAGUAAUGAAAAUUAAAACCAAGAUACAUGCAAACUAAAACAUGAUAAAUUCAAAUGACUAGCAAUCAAAAUAUCCAUGAAAAGAGACAUCCAUUCUUUAAAUAGAUGCAGAAUUAUAACAGUCACAUCCUGGCUGUAAUAGCUAAUACCGAACAACGGAAAUAAUUAUAAUUAUAUAUAUUACGGAGGGGGAGGGGACUAAACUCUUAUGGGACCUGAUUUUUUUUUUUAUUCAAAUGAAGAUAACUUGAAAUGGUCUUAAAAUGCAGACAAUGUGCCACAUCGAUAAUUAAUUCUCCCCUAAAAAUUCCCAUCAAACAGAAGCCACCAUAAUGUCGACAUUCCAACUCUUCAAAAUUUCCAUAUUUGAUUAUUGUCUUCUCUAUCAUUCACUGAGGUUUACCUAUUUUACACCUCAAAGAUGUAAGCCUCCUAUAAUUUCAAAAAGGCAUAAGAUUUGAAGAACUUCAAGGCUUUCAGCUCAUAUCAAUACAAAAACAAUAACAUGGAGAUCGGAAUAUGAAGAAUAAAAGAUACUGUGCCAAACAUAAUAAAUGCAAAAUAACCAAGUGAUUCAUCAUGGAGACCAGAUUAAUUGUGAAAAAGCCUACAUAAUAAUACACGAGAAAUUCUGAUCUAAUGAACUAAAAUAAAACAUAUAGCCUCCUCAACUUCUGACUUGAGGCAACCAUAAUGUGACGUAUUGGAAAUUCUGCCACGCACCACUAUUUAGCCAAUCAAUCACAUGAAAUGAUUCACACCAAGAAAUGGUAUGAGCAUUAAAAAAAAAAAAACUAGAAGCCUUUAAAUCAACAAAACCAAUCAAUACAAUCCUAACUACAAGAAAGAUACAUACAGAGCAUACUUGGAUGAAAAUAGACCCACCGCGAUGGAAGAAGAAUAGAAUAUUCCAAAGGAAAGACUUAACGAAAUACAGAGCUACAGAAUGAAAAGCUAGUAAGAAAUGAAAAUUCAGGCAGAUCAAGAAAUGUAUCAAAACCUUUUGUUGAUAGAUGAUUUGUCUACAAAAAGGGAAUCCAACCAUCAAAUAUUGAAAAUAAAACAUAGAGUAAAUCCCAUAAACCCAAAAUAUUAGGAGGUGAAGGACAAGCUCAACCUAUAUGACCUACUGCAGUUGUAGAAGGAAAGUUCAGAACCAAACUAUGUUACUCCAAAUUCCCAGUUGCUGGAAAUUUAAAAAAACCAUCUAGCUAAAGAACCUAAGACAAGUGACCUAAACUUUAAAGAAAAAUAAAGGAAUUAGAAGUGGUAAAAUGCCAGGGAGAGAAAAAAAUACCCAUGCAAAUCAAAGGAAAAACUAAACGUUGCAGAACUAAAGGUGAAUUAAAAACCGCAGCAUAAAUAUGCCACAUAAAAAGAAAGAGGUAAGACAUUGGCGGAAAAAAAACUGACCUAAAUGGAACAACGUAUUAAAGGGUAAGCGUGUCAGCUGAAAUCAGUAGCGGACCCCAAGCUGACAGAGCCUUUUGACACCCUGCUUAAAGAAAAGAGGAGUUUUAUAAGUUUAUUAAUUCUUCUUUAUAGUACUUAAAAUGACCAAAGCUCGAAUUGGAAGUACACGAAGGAAAAGGCAUGAAAGGCUAUUCUUCCAAGGUAUACGAGAGGGGAAUUAAAAUGCUGGAAACUAGAAAUAGAAGUAACGGAGAGGAGCUAAAUCAGGACAGAAAAUAGAAGUUGCAUUGCAUCUUGCCAUAUUGAAAGCAAAAUGAAUCGAAAAACACUAAUCAGUAAGCACAAAUGGGCACAUCCAUAUGAUGAAUGAAUGACUGAGAAGAUAUUCCAAACAAAAUUCAAUGCCUUGUUUUUCAUUUAAAAUUUUCCAGUUUCGGGGGGGGGGAGUUCGUAUUUACUUUUCGAAAACUGCUGACUGCCAGAAGUGUUCUUGUUAGCUGCUGGUCCGAUUCGCAUGGGUCUGGAUGAACAGUGAACACCGUUCAUCUCAGUCAUAGCCCGAAUUUGUUCAGACUCAUCCCCAAACUUUACGAAACCGUAACCCUUAGUACGUCCAGUGAGCCUAUCGAUCACAACUUUAGCACCCUUAACUGAGUUAUACCGUGCCCUAAAUGUUUCUUGUAGCACAUAAUCAGUAACAUCACCAGCCAAAUCUCCCACAAAAAUAGUGUAAUCAGGAGAAUCAUCUUGUCGCUUCUCCCCUGCUGAUGCCCAGUUCAAUCUAAAAUUUUGUGCCCCAUUGGGCAUGGCGGUGCCAUUAUAAGUUUGAAGUACUCUUUCCGCAGCUGGACGAGUUAAAAACUCAAUAAAACCGUAACCCUCGGACUGGCCGGUUUGCUUAUUCCGAAUCACUUUCACGGAGGAAACCUGCAGAUAUAAACAACAUCAAUUAUAAACAAGAAAGAAGAAAGAAGAAAUGGAAACGAUUCUUGUCCACCGAAAUCACAAUGCAGUAACAUGUGUGGGCACAAAUCUUCAAGAACUCAACCUAAUAAUUAUAAAACCAAAUCUUUUCCCAACAACAGCAAUGAAAACAAAUAAUAAAGACAUAUACACAAAAGAUCUAAAAAUGGGUGGCGUUGACUGACGUACCUCGCCAGUAUGAGCAAAACAAUUAAAGAUAUAGUUCUCGUCCAUCCAGUACUGCAAGUCUCCGAUCCAGAGCGUACGAACCUCAUCCCCGUUGGCAGGUUGAGGGGGUUGGCCCUGUGGAGAACCAGCCUGCGGCUGUUGAGGCCACAUCUGAGGAACAGGCUGUGCUUGCGGGGGCUGAGGCUGCAUCAUCAUGUAAGGAGGUUGCUGUUGUUGGUACUGAGGAGCCUGGUGAGGAAUGUUGUGAGGAGCAACACCAGGAGCAGGCUGCAUCGUUAUGGAGAAGGGGAGAAAAGAAAAACAAAUCUCCUUAGGAUGGGGAGACGGAGAAAGAAAAAGAGAGUGGUGGGUGUGUCGUUCGGACAAAGAGAGAAACCCUAACCCUAGAAGCCGAGAAGGAGGCGAAAAGGGAGGAAAGCAAAAGGAAUGGGAUCGGUAGGAAUCGAUUAGAUUUAUCGUUUUUUUUCUUUUCACUUAUCUGAAAGGUUUGAGGCCGUGGUUUUAGAGCAAUGGGCCCCACGUCCAGGGCGAACUUCGUAUUGACGCUCAAAGAAACCAACCAAUCAGAAAACGAGCUCAUGGAUGUGAAGAUGAAACCAACCUCACACGAAUAGUUUGUCUUUCUAUUGAAUUGAGUAUCAUAUAGUAAUAGCAAUAGACUAUGACAUGACUUGUUCAAAUAUCCAACCAUCUCUUCAAAAUAUUCUCAAAAAGUAUAAGAAAAAAAGGGAGUACUCGUCUGCCAUUUGGGACGGGUUUAUCUGGGCUGGCUUCGAGUUUAUUAAAAGGUGCAACUAUAUCGUAAUUCUUAAAAGUCAAGGUCGUGUAUGAAGCUCUUUUUUUCUUUUUAACUUGUGAUUCUGAAAUUUGACUGUUUUGAGAGUGCAACUUAAAUAAUUGACUCAUUCAAUGAUUUUAUUGAAGUAUUUUUUGUUCAUACUCGAGGGUAGGUUUUAAGUGUGAGAGUCACUAAUUACUUGUCAUAUUUGACAUUUUCACAGUUAAAAAAAGAAAGAAAAGAAAGCCCGUUUUCAUCCAUUGUUGUAAACCUUUCUAAAAUUGAUACCAAAAAUUUGAUUUGGAUAUUGUCAUACACCAAGUUGUUGUCACUUUACCGAAAAUGACCUCAAGGGACGCUGCAAGUUGCCGAAAAAAUAUCCAAUGCUUUGUUAUAUUUAGAGGUUGAAAAGGCCUCUUCAAAAUCCUAUAUCCAUUCUCACCACUAACCACCCCCCGCCAAAACAUCCAAAAAUCUUCCUUCCCAUCAACAAUGGAGAUUUCUACCUCUACUCCUCAUCCCCUUCUCUUUCCUUACUACCAUUACUCCAUUCCCCAUAAUUACGUUCACUGGGUUCAAACCUCAGACUCUCAUCUUUUCUCCGCCGAUCUCCCUGGUACUUCCAUUUUCCCCCAUUCAUUUCUACCCCACUUGGUUUUUAUUUAUUUAUUUAUUUUUACGUUCUCGUUCGUUAAUUUUACGUGUAGGUGUUCGGAAGGAGGAGAUAAAAGUGGAGGUUGAAGAUUCGCGGUAUCUGAUCAUUCGGACAGAGGCUGUGAAUGGAGUUACUUCUCCGGCCAAGAGUUUCUCCAGGAAAUUUCGACUUCCGGUUUUGGUUGAUGUAGAUGGAAUUUCGGCUGGGUUUGAGAAUGGGGUUUUGGAGAUCACGGUACCAAGGUCGUCUUUUAGGAGAAGAUCUGUUGUUCAUUCUCCUGACCAACAUCAACUUCUUGCCAGGGCUGCUUGAUCGAUCAAUUUGAAAGCGAGUUUGCUGCCCUCUCUGCUUUCUAUUUUCCAUUUUUUUUCUCUUUUGGUUGGUUGGAAAAUUGGAGAAAUUUGAAGCUCUGUAUUGUUAGUUUGUGAUGAAUAGGAAGAAUUUAUGUAUCAACAAAUUAAAUUGUUGGGUUUACAAGUAGAAGUAAGUGUAGGAUUGGAUUGAUCUGGUUAAAUUUGGACUGCUUGAUGUUUAUUCAAAUAUUUUUAUGAGUUCCAUGUCCACUUGGUUACUUAAUUUUGACAAUAGGGAUCAAGGCAUUAAAUUUAAUGAUAGAACACAACUUCUUAUGUUCAUGAAUUUGAUGGAGCAGCCUUUUUGGAGGGAGAAAACAUGAACUGACCACAUUUUACAUUACCAAUGAGAUGAGUUUUUACAGUCAAAAGAGAGAAAUAGUUAAUGCUUCCACACCACUUUAGUUAUAUAAUAUUAAAUUUUGUUACUGUAGAUUUUGUGUUUUUUAUUUUCUAUAUAAAAAUUACUUCUUUAUAUUCUCCAUUAAGAGUUACGAAGUUCAAAGAUAUGUAAGAUAGAAAAUUAAUAGUUUUUAAGUAGUUUUCAUUCACUAGUAGAUUUCUAAUCAACUUACGUUGUUAGGACUUAAAGAAUCUAUCCAACUUAACUUCUUUAUAACAAAAAUCAAUAUUAGAAAUUAUGAUAUGUAAAUCGUUCUAUUAUAUAUAUUAAAAUUUAGAAAAUUAUUACACACUAUUGAUAAUUUCAAAAGUUUAAGAACUAAACUUGUAAUUUAACAUAUUUUUUGUCUUAUAAAAUUAUGAUGUUACAAAUAUUGCAAUGAUAAAGCUUCAAAUCAUUGUGAAUAUCUUUGACAAGUUGAUAACCACUUGGUUCUUAAAAUGUAAUGCUAUAAACUAUCACAGUAUUUUGAUUUUUUAGACUAAGUCUACGAACGUUUUUGAAAAAUGUAAUUUAAAAAAGGCAAACAUAUAUUUGGAAAAUUUUAAAAUAUUGUAGGAGAGUUGAGAAAAAAAUACAUUUAAAAGAACUGAAUAUUAUUUUUUUUAAAACACUAAAAUAAAACUAUUACGAAGUUUGGGGAUUAUGGUAAAUAAUACAAUUGUUGAAAACAUUUACAAAAUAUAGAAGAAUUUUAGAUUCUAUCAACAAUAUUUAUCUUUAAUAUAUAUAAAGUUUGGUAAAUAUUUUAGUUUAUUUUACUAUAUUUAAAAAUGAGCGAUAUCAAAUUAAAUCUUAAUUGUUAAGUUAGGUUCAAAUUCGUAUUUCAUUUAAAAUGUGAACUAUGUUUAUAUCAAAUAAUUUUUAUUUUGCAAUGGUCUAACAAAUUUACUAUUAUGGGUUAGAUUUCAUACCAACAACACCUGGUUAUAGACGUUAAUAGAAGUUUAUAUUUAGAAAUGCUUUCAUUUAAUAGAUACUUACCGAACACAAACUUCAAGGUGAGAGGAAAAAAGAGGUUAAAAUUGUAAUUUAAAGAAUAUUUAAAUAUAUUGGCAAAUUUUACUAUUUUUGCUGAAAAGAUUUGGAAAAUAUUUUUAUAAAAGAUGUAUAAAAAGCCACAACUUGCCUCUAUUUUAUUGAAACUGAUAACUUUAACAAGAAUCAAUGCCCUUUUGGACUUCAGAAGGCACCAAUUAGCUGCAGCAUCAAAAUCGAAGUCUGAUAUUUUGGAGUCCCAUAAGCCAAUCGACCAUUCAAUCAAAAUUUGCGGUGGGUAUUCCUGAACAAAAAGGCUACAACACGUGGUUUCUUGUAAUUGUGUCUACACAUGCAACCAAUCACAUCACCAUUGUCAAUUAACUGAUAAACAUCUCAAAGACAAAUAAAUCAGUAACACAAUGUUACAAAACAACGCUGUCAAGGAGUGUGGAUUGUGCAUAAAUUAUGCACACCAAGUAUAUUCUUGUUAAUCUGUACACUAUGAUUUGAAUAUACAUCUCUUACUCUCCAUGUUAAGGUUUAGAACUCAAAACUCAUUUCCCACACAACAAAUAUAUGAAUAUUAGUAGUUAGGCUUAGCACAUGGUGACCGUUACCAAUUGUUAGUUGUCAACUUCAGAAGUUCAACAGCUUCUUUCAAUCGUCUCUCUAUAUUCUCUCUCCCAUCAAGACCCCUAGCAGUCCUGCAAUAAGAACAGUGGGAUUGAAAUUUUCAGCACACGGAUAAAAAAGAAAAACAAAAAUAGAAAGGAACUGCAAUGAAUACGCGUCUGAGUCAAAUUCCUUGAGUUUGAGUUUUACCUCUUCUCGUUGUAUGCCUUUCUGGUAAGUUCCUCCGCAAGGCUGCUAAGUCGCUUUAAAUGGCCACUUGACUUGCGCACUGCUUCAAUGCCUUUUUCAUUUCUGCAGAUCAUUUUCAGAACUUCCGAGGCGAUAAAGAAGCCAUCGUCCUUAUUCCUGAAUACAAAUUGUUGACAGAUAACACUUUAGUUAUAAUGAGAAGAACUAAAUUAUUCUUAUCAUGAUGUUCUAAUUUAAAAAAUUAUAUCGACAAACCUUAGGAGCUCCCAGAGAAGAAUUUCUACGGAUCCAUGAGUAUCAAUUAGCACUUCAAUAAGAUGGGGAUAACGUGAUAAAUUUCUUAAAGUAGAGAGCGCGUGCUUCAGGACUUCCUGAUCAGGUAUGCUUCGGCUGACUGACCGAAUGAGCUUCAGCAAAGUGCUAAUAGCUCCAGCACCAACAAGGGUUUCGCAGCAUUUUUGAGAAUGUCCUGUCGCCAUAUCUACAAAAGCAGAUUUGUACAACAAAUAUUUAUUUUCAGUCAAAUGAUAAAUGAUAAGGCAUAUUCAGGAAAAAAGUGAUGAGUGAAAAAACCAUAGAACUUCAUACUUCAUCCAUAAACUGCCAAAUAUAACUACUGGAUAGUCCUUGCUUUUAACACCUUGAAUAUAAAUUUUGUAGUUUAUGGGCCAUACAAAUGCGUAAAACAGAAAUAUAAACUAGAUUAACUGUAUUCCACAUAAGCAAGGACAGCUGCAACAUGCGUAUGGGAUUCAAAUUAUCAUCGACAUAUUACAUACCUAAAGUUGCACAAGUAUGAAGAAUGCCUCGAACACUUCUCAUGCUUAGCAAUUCCGAAAGUGCUACAACUAAUCUGUUUAUAAUACGCUUGCCAUCAUCCACAUUUGCAGCAGAAUUUUGCACUCUCAAGCGCAGGUCUCGUAACUGCCCUUUUGAUCUUUUUCUUGCUAAGUAACCUUUCCAGUGUGACUAUCAAAUUUCAGGAAAGAUAAAAUUUAGAAAAAGGUACACAUCAUUUCAAAAAUUGGAGUGAUCUUUUACAUAGAUUUUGGGUUUCAGAGAACAGUUAGGCCGGUAAAUAGCUAUUCCAAUCCAGUCACGCUUUUGUCACUGACAUUAUUGAGAGAGCAACAUGAAAGUUAAAAUCAAGAUGAUGACCUAAUGUGUGUGAGUGUGUUUAUGUCUUUUUAAUUAUCACUGAUUCAGCACUUUGCCUCACGGCAGCCUCAUACUGCAAGUAGCCCCUUAUUUCUCCAUUGAUUUACCUACUUUUCUUCUUCACAUUUCAAAUCCUUCAUCCCUUCAGCUCAUUGAGUAGAAGAUCGUUUGAGUGCAUUUGAAGCUCCUAGCAUAUGGUUCUUCGAAGAGCAUACACUACAAUAUCUACUCCGAAUCCGAUAGAUUAAUUAGGACAAGUCAUCACAAUGCUAGGAGUGAAGACGGAUCUAGCAACCUCUACAACUUCUCCACUGUCUUAUGAAUUCUUUUGACUGCAUAUAACUGAUAAAAUGUUAAACAAUAUAGAACCAAAACACUUACUUGGAUCAAAACAAUCUGUUGUCUCUCUGUAGCAGCCCUUCGCCUAGAUAUCCACCCUCUGAUAUGAGACUGGAUGACAAUUAUGGACCUUGAUCUUAAUCUAAGCAAUAAAACUCCCUUCCACCACCGUUGCAGUUUUAGAAUUGAACCUAAAACUAGCUUCAACUCAAACAUUUUACAGCUGGAUCUGGAGAAAUUUCCACUGUAAAACGUUGAACGUAGUUCAGAAGCUGCACCUAAACAAUGAAGUGGUGUGAGAAAUGAAAUUAAAACAAUACAAGGCUAUCAUUGUACGUGUAGACUAGACACAAUACCUAAGAGCUUCAUUCGAGUAAUUUGUCCCCUUAUGAGUCGUUGAAUUUCUAUAGCUGCAUGUCUCUGCCUAUGAAAUGCUAUACGACCAAUCAUGCAUCGUGUAGCAGUCUGGAUCUUUAUGACGGACUCUCUCUGCAGCAAAAAUUCUUUCUGUGCCAGCCAACGACGCCAAAAACUCUAUCAAUAAAAAAAUGCACAUCAUUUAUAUAUGUUAAACAUUUCAUAUUUGCAUAGGGAAAAAGAAACACAUUUUAAAUCAUAAAUAGAACUUUCAAGGGUUGAAAUAAAUGGAUCAAGUCUAUCAUGUCAAGAUAGUCAAUCAGAUGUCACUAUAACAAACUUACUUGAACUAGAACAAUGAGACGCCUCUGCCGAUGACCUUCUCUCCUGGCAAUCCAUCCACGAACCAAAGAUUGAAUUACAAUGGCAGAUGUCACAACAUUCUUGUUAUGUGUAUAUUCUUUCUGACAUCUUAACAUACGGAUAUUUUUCUGAAUUACUAUUGUCGCCAUCCUUAGACUUAGAAACUUCCUUCUUAAAAACUUACCACGAAAAUAGCUUUGAAUUUGAAUGGCAGCAAGGUGUUCAUUACAGAAUGCUUCUCUUACCACUACAUCCUUGUUCAAUAUAGGACACUCCUCAGCAACUACUUGAAAUUCAGGUGUUUCUUUUAUUCGAUCAAUAAUGCCGAUUUCUUCAUCUGCAAUUGAAGCUAUGUUUAGAUGAGUUACUGCAGGGCCAUUUCUGUCGAAAGAUGCUACUUCUCUGCUAACUUGGUUUUUUCUAAUCAUCCAAUUCCUCGUUGCUCGUUGAAUACAUAUUGCUGACCUUUGUAAAGUCAAGAGGUCACGUGUGUCUACUGUGAGUGUGCUAUAUCUCCCAACAAUUUCAAGCUGUUUCGGUCUUUCUGUAUCAUCAAUACAACAGUAGCUUUGGUCAUGGUGAAUUUUAAAUAUUCGACCAUCCGAACUACAUAUUUAGAAACAAUCUAACCAAAAACAAAACACCAUACCACACGAAAGUGUACGGGGAGCAUCUGGUUCUGUACAAGCCAAUUUUUGCCUCCUAAUUAACCAUGCUUUGAUAAAUCUUUGUAAGAAGGAAAUUUCAUGCAUCAAAUUAAUAAACUUGCGACGUUCAACCAAUCUCCUGUAAUAUGAUUGAAUAAUUCUAGCAGCAUCUUCUGCAAAAUUUAACAGAAGAAUUCCCGUGACCACAAAAACAAAAAUAGAAGUACAAUUCUUAUGUCAAGUCAAUCACCACUUUCCUUCUUGUUGCAUUUUCAUUCUAAAAACUUUCAGAAGGUUCUUUUUUAAACUCAGACUUAAAAUAAUUAACUGAACAAUUGUGUCACAUCAUAUUCAUUUGUGUUUUUUGUAAUGUGUAUCUAGCAUGUAUUUAAACGUUGAAAUAUAAGAACCAAAUAAAAGGAAUGUUGAAUUUCAGUGAAGAAAUAAGAUUAACCUCGUAAUAAAUAAAUAAAAAAUGAGGAAGAAAUGAUAAUUAGCAUCCUAUGUUCAGAGAACUGUUUAAAGCAGUCACGCACGGUCCUAGUUCCAAUAGAAACAUAAGCAUCACUGUUUAAUGAAACGAAAGAGUUAAGGAAAAGAAAAAAUAUAUAUAAUGAUACCAGACCAGUUCAAUUUUCUGAAAUCAAUGAACAUUUAAAGAUUAAGAAUCCAUCAGUCAACGAAGAAGACAAUUGAUUGACUAAAAAAAAGUAUGAGUUAACUGAAUUACAAUCAAGUAACAAAUAUUGAUCGAUAGGUAACAUCCCAAUUCCCAAUUACCUCUUUGCUUCUUGUUCCUCUGUUUUCCUGAUGGAAGGAAUAAUGAAGUGGCGUCUGGCUUUGAAAAGGAUCUCUUGUUCUGUUCAACCAUAUCCUGCCACCAUGCACGAAUAGUCUUGAACUUUUUGGCACCAUCUGUUUCUGAAGGGAACACCAAAAUUUUAAGGCAAAAAAGAGUAUGCUCAAAAGCACUGAUUUCAUGCCAAUGUUAUCCUUCCUUAAAGAGCGAGAAUGGAUCAAAUUGAAAAACAUGUAAAUGAAUUAUGCAACAUGUACCAAGUCAAGUGCAUGUACAUAUAUGUCACUAAAAGAAGCAAAAUAUUCACUUCGUAAACAUGAAAUCAGAGUGAAAGAAGAAACCUCCAGUAUUCUGCACAUCAAAUCCUUCAAUAUUUGGCACGGCCACUGAAUUCAAAACAUACUGCCUGGAACAGAAAUGUAUUUUAUUUGGGCUUUGACAAUCGCAGUCCAAUAGUUUAUGGAAAUUCAGUUGAUCCUAGAAAAAGGAAUCAAUGUGUUUCAAGAUAUGAAACAUGGAAUGAACAAGAAGGAAUCCAAUUACAACGUGAGCAUGUGGAAACAUUACCACGCUUUUCUUCACAAUCAAUUCUGAUGCGAGGAAAGUCAACAAAAUUAUUACACUGCGGUCACUACAUGCACCACCAUACUCGAGUAUAUCACUAAUUUGCAGAAUCUGUUACAUGAAAUAUAGUAAUAAAUACUUGUCCCUUGUGAUAAUUGUAUGACAGAUGAACAUAAAAAUGAAUAAUACGAGAAAACUGCCAAUUUGUAUCAAACUAAUAACUCUCAAGCCGCAACAACUGAUUGUUUCGACUACAUCACACAACAGAGAACACCGCAUUAUAUCUCAACUUUUAAUUUACAAAUUGCGCACACACAUGAGUCCAAUGUAUCAGAAUCUCGGGGCAUUUCUUCAUUUCCAGUAUCGUUUUAUCCAUCAUGAAUUUUGAAACAUCUAAUAGGACGUUGCUUAGAAUGCCUAUAUCUUUAAACAAUCUCUUAAAAAAAAGCUCUUUCUAUUUAGUUUUCCAUUGUCUCAUACUUCACAAAACACUGUUUUUGCUCCUUGAGCUUAAGUCCUAGAUUAUAUUGUACCUUACUGUGAUUCACCUUAAAAAAAAAGUUGAAUACAUUUGUAAAAACACUAACCUCAGGAAAAUCUCCCAAUAGUGAUGCCAAUUUUUGCAAUAAUAUGAAAUUGUGUGCUGCGUCUGAACAAUGAGUGACAGACAUGAUCGAUUCUUCACCAUUUGUUUUCUGAGGAUCCUGCAUCCAGGUGAAUAAAUUAAGGUAAGGCACAAACAACGCAAUCCAUAAAAUAAUGGAAUGAGUUCGACACCUAUCUAAGUAGAAAUCAAGUAGAAUGUUGUAACAAGAUGAAUGGCACAACCUUUGAAGAGAUUGAACAGUGAAGAUCUUUACGGAAGUAGUAAUCAAGUAGGCACCAUAUUGCUUUUCCAUCGACCAAAGAAGAAAAGCUGCUAAUCUUUAUAUCAUAGUUGUCGCAGACCACCUGAAGUAAAAGACUUUCCACGUUUAAUCGAGAGGUAUAGGUUUCUGAAUUGGAUAAUUUAAAUAUUUAAAAUAGUUAAUAAAGCAAUCCAGGAUAAGAACUAGUUCGAUCAACUCCUUGCAAUGAGAAAGAGUCGAUGCUUUCCCAUACACUAAAUCUUUGUGAAAUUGAAACAGGUUGAAAACGACCAUAGAGGAGAAGGCUUCUUCAACCCAAUAACAACCUUUUAAAUACAACGUCUUCAUAAAUUCAUAUAUUUGAAGUUUGAAUAAGUGAGCAAUGAAAAAAAAAAAAAAAACAAAAUGAAAGUGUUUGCAAAAUGCUUUCCCCUAUACUAAAUCUUUAUGACCCUACUCUACAGAAUUGAAAUUAUUUAUAGCAGUGAAAUUAUUCUCGUAUUGGUAAAUACGUAUUUCUGCUUUCACAACUUUACUGAUUGUUAAAAUGGAAUGCAUAGUAUAGAAAAAAUGCUUAUAAAUUCCAAGAUUUGAUCUGGGUAAAUGAGGAAAAUCAUUACUUCCCCGCAAAACAGUGAACAUGGCUUCCGUUUGCAUUAAGGGGAAUAAAUGCACAGUGGUGAUACUUGUUGUGGUUGUAAUUUAAUGAUAGACGAAGGAGGAUGAGACUGAAAGAAAUACCUGGAUCCAAUCCAAGAUAACUUCCAAGGGUGUGGAUUUGUCAAUUUCAGAUUUUUCCUGAUGGAUGGAAAAGAGUGAGAAGGUGUGAACAUAAUUCAUUUUUCUGAAAAACGAAUCUAAUAAAGAAAACAUAAUAGAAUCGGACGUCAAAUAAUAACAAAAUAACCAACGUCUGUAUUGAGACUGAUGACACCUUUAAAAGUCUAACAAAGAAGUAUAAUACUGACCACCCCACGAAUUUUGCAGACUUCUUCAACUAGAAGGUUUUUGUUGACUAUAAGAGGCAACUGCAUUUUACAUGUGAAAGAAAAUAAGUCAUGAUUUUCUGACAUGAGAGCUAAAAGAACAAAACUCAUUGACAAUCAAUCACAUUACACAAACAAGUUGAGUGAUUAUCAUGGAAAAGCAAGAAAUUAGAAUACCUGAAGAUGAACAAACAUGUUAGAGAGCAAAGAAAGGACCAUUUCCUUCUCUCCGUUAGCAAUAUCAUCUUCCACAAGUAUCAUUCCAUCCUCAUCACAUAAUGCUACACCAGCCUGCUUAAGAUACUGCACAGCCUUGCCACAGUUUGCCAAGUUCUUCUUAUGAGAGUCUGAUGGAACUACAAUUUUCUGAAAGCAGAAUUGGAGAAAAAUUAAGAAAAAGGUAGAAAAAGUGAUUGUCACUAAGAGCUGUAUUUUCAUGAAUGAAAAAUGACACUACCGUCAGAAUGGAACAGUCAUUAAGCAAAAGUUGAAUGGCUCUGCACAGUCGAACACCGUCUUGGAUGUCUACGAAUAAAUCGGUAAUUUUGAAGUCGUAUUCAGAAAUGGGACGCUGCAGGGACAUAAAAAAUUUACACCAAGUCACCCAAUAAGGGUAAGCAUUAUUAAAUUAGUUACAGUCACCUACAGCAGCUAUUGAUGUUUUUGGUCGUAUUCAGGUUAAAAUGCUCAUCAAGUCAUUAAGUAUAGAACAACUACCUGAGCGUAAGAUACUUUAUACCCCAUAAUCACCAAAUGUGCUAGCAGAUUACCUUCUCCAUGCAUUACAUCUGAUGAUAGGAAAUCUAAUUGCACCAAGAGAAAAACAAAACUUAUGCUCCACUUCCAAACCUAUAGAAUUAUGGGCAAAAAUGGGUGGAGCAAUUGUUAAUUACCAUUAAUCAUUUGACGACUUGAUUUGAUGACAGAUUGCACAAGGAACAGCAAAGGAGAACCCCCAUCCACGCCAUCGAUACCAUAAUCAAGCGGAAGGCUGCUCUGGCACUUGGCUUUAUCAAGAAUAAGAACUAGCAAUAAAAACCUUUUUAGAAUAAUAUUACCCAAGGCUUCAUAAUAUCCCGGUCUAUAUAAACCCUCAACCAUCCGGUUAUAAGAAUAUGCCUUCGCCAGACCAGAGUGAGAAAAAAACUGCUUCCCGAGGACCAUUUUCAGAAAUGCAUUAUCUUGUUCAGAAUUCACUUCUUCAGUAGACAGCAAAGAAUCACCACCAAAUAUGAUGUAUAAUCCAAUGUGAAGCCAAAUUGGAUUAUAAGCCAUAAGGAUCCUCGUGGCGCUCUCCUUCAGUCUAACAUCAGUUAUGAUGGGACAAUGAGCCUUCAUUUUUAACCUUCCGUCAUCAAUAUUCUGCGAGACAGAGCAGAAUAUUAGAAAUUUCGAAAUUUUUUAAGAACCCAUGUUUUAUUGAUAGCGUAAAAGAGAUAUAAUCUAAUAAUCUUGUUCGUGCAUUAAAAAUCACCGUAAGGUUCAAGUUUAUUAAGAGUGCAAACUAUAUCUUGAUUGUGAUUGCAAUAUCACCUCAUUUGUGGCAAGAAUUUGGACUAUUCUAUUACAACUGAAGGCUGCAACUAAGCAAGAUUAGCCUCCAUUUACUCAACAUAGUACGGUACGAAUAUAUUUCUAAACUGGGAUCGAAGUUAAUCGAGCUAAAAUGGUGAGAACGUUGAUCUAAAUUCUAAUCGCUAUUUGUAGUAACCAAGCCAAAGAAAAAGGGAAAUGAUAUAAUUGAAGCCGAACCUUAGCCACUUGAGCCAUGAUGUCCAGAGUAUCCUUACAAUUAUUCGAGCUCAAGUAAACUCGCAUUCGUUGCGUCAAAUCAUCAAAGCUGCACACAUCUUUCAACGACUCCCUCAACUUCACAUACCUCGAAUUCGAAAACUCAACUUCGUUUUCAGCGACAUCGCCACUUGGAAAUCCCCAAGACAAUUCUCUCUGCCUCUUCGGACAUCGCCACACCAUAUCAACCCCCACUGCAGGACAACUAUUGAAAUCCCUCUUUCGAUUCCCCCGCGAUCCAGUGCUACAUCCAUCAUCACCCACAGGCCAAUCGCAGCCACAAGAUCUGGGAUUCUCAAACAAGAAAUUAAGCCAAACCGUGAGGGAAUUAGCUAAAGAUUUGAGAGAUUGUUCCUUCUUCACCUGAACCUUGCGAGAGGACUGCGAUUGCUCAAGCUCAAAAGCUUUGAGUUUGCGGGAGGCCUUGGACCGAGCAGCAGAAGAGGAAGGAGCGAGAGAAGGGCGUGGACGGCGAAGUGUGGAAGAAACGAGAGGAGUUCUCUUAGAAGCAGUAAAGAAAGGUUGAGAUGGAGAUUGAAGAGUGGAAAUGCGGGAAUGGCGUUUGGGGGUUUUGAAGUUUGAGAUGUCUUUGAAAAUGGAAGAGGGAGGAGGUUUGAAAGGUGAAGGAGAAGGAGAAGGAGAAGGUAAUUCCUCUUCAACUUCCAUGGAUGGCUGUGUUCUCUUCAACUUUGAUUUGAAUUUUGAAGGUUUUCUUGGGCUUUGAAGGAGAAAGAGAACGAAGUUGAUGAGUUUUUGUGUUUGAAUUCAAAAUGCGAGGGAGACAAACACAGCCUUUGUUAUAAAUACGACGACAUCAUUUUUUUUUAUUCUAAAGUUACAAUUUUACCCCUCACACAUUAAAUUGCUAUAAAAUACUCUUCUCAUCAAUAUUUUUAAAAAUAACCAAAUAAAUUAAAAUAUUUACAAACAAUACCAAAAUUUUGAAUUCUAUCAAAUAUAACUAUUAUAGAUUUUUAUGAUUAUUUAUCAAAGUAUACAAGCAUAGUCAACAUGAGCUUAGCUCAAUUGGCACCUCUAUGUUCCUGUCUCGGGUUCAAAUCUCCACCUGUUUUUUCUAAAUCUUGUGUAUGAUGUAUUUUUUUUUAAAUAUUACCUUUGAUAAUAUAAAAGUAGUAUUUUUUUAAUUAAAAAAAGCAUGUGAAUGUCUUUUGUUUUAAGAGAAGAUUAACUAUAAACUCAUAUUAAUAAAGAAAGGAGUGAUUCAAAUAUUUAUUAAAAGUGGAUAUGUUAUACUUCUUGAUAUUUGAUCCUUCUUAAAACAUAAAUUUAUUGUCGCUUGUAUUGUUUUUUUUUUUUGGAAUAGUUGUAAAUUUAGCAAUUAGAUUCAAGUAUAUAGCAACAUUUCAAAAAAUUACCAUGUGACAAAUACGAUACAAGUCUAUCAACAAUAGUUUUGCUAUAAUUACAAUUUUUUUAAAAUUGUAAUAAUUAUUAUUGAAAUGGUCCUUAAUUAUUAUUAUUAAAAUGGUCCUUCAUUACAAUUUCUUUUUUUUUUUCCUUAAAAAUGUUAAUUUACCAAUUUAGACCGAAAAAAGAAUUGCAAAUGUUUGUAAUCACCGUAUAAAUUUUUGAAUCCGAUGAAUUGUUUGACAUACAACUUAAAUUCCAAGUUUUUAACAUUUAGUGUGAGUAACUCAUCGUCACAUCCCAACUUUUAAUUUUUACAUUUAUCAAUGAACUCUCGACUUGUUAUGUUAAAUAAGUAAAAAAGAAAUUAUGAUAAUAUGACUCAUGUUACUACAUUUUCAAUAAAUCUAAAAAUCGAUAACUCUAUGAUUACCGUCUAAUAGUCUUAUGAUUGUUGUUUUUUUUCUAAAUGUUUUUAUCAUUGAAUGCAAUUUUUAUUUUAAAAAUAUAUCUUUUUAAAAACCAAAUAGAUCUAUUCUCGUAAACCUCAAUUCAACUAAGAUGAAAUGCAUAUUUCUAUUUUUAUUUUUUAAAAUUCAAGAACCAAUUAUCAGAUGCUAUUUUACAACCACAUACUUAUUAACUAUACUUAGUAGACUAAAUGGUCUCUUACAACUUCAAAAUAACUUCUAGAAAACUGUAAUAAUUCAUCAAGGGUAUAUCAACGAACUUUUUGACAUUUAAUGGGUUGAGCCUUUUUUCUUUUUUUGAGUUUUGCAAGUUUGGUUGGUGACAUAAUUUUUAUGACUUACUUUGCCAAAUCAGGAAGAAGCUCAAAUUAAUUUUGCCACAGGCCCAUAACAACCAGCCUGUUGAUACCUUUGUUAAUCAGGAAUUCUCUGCCAUUUUCAACCUUGCUCGGGUAGAAAUUCAGAAGAGACGCAAAUCAAUCUACCUCAUCACUUGUAUACUAAUACUAACCAAAAUCACAGACCAUAGCAUCAAUAAGCAAAAAUAAAUUACAAGCAGUUUAUCGAGUCCUCAACAGUGUGAUACUCAUCAAAACACACAAUACUUCAUCUUACACAAAUCUAUCUUUGCACAAUUAGACCAAAUAGAAUGAGUUGUUCACAAAUCAGACAACACCGAAAGAAGAGUUUCAUAAUUGCUCUCAGUCAGCAGCAAAUAGCUGGGACUUUCUUUGGCAUUACAUGCCACAGCAGAAUGCCACAUUGACAUAUUUUUUUCUUCCAGUUAGGUAAGAAUCCACUACUCCCAGAUAUUGAAAAAACCAACCCCAAGGAGGUGAAGAAGUGUACAGAAUGUAAUGCACAUUGACUAACGAAUGGGGUGGUACUGAGCUGAUAUUCUCUUAGGAGGCAAUUUGCGUAAUAUGUAAAGCACUAAUGCUGAAGGCAGAAUUUCGACCAACUGUGAGUUUAACAAAAUUUGUUAAUAUCAACCCAAAGUAUGUUGAAAUCAGAUAUAUGAAACAGGAACAAGCAUAGUAAAGUAAAGUACCAAGUAGUAGAUGAAAUUCAGAAGAGGGUGAUCUAAAACAUCAAGUGAUGCAUCAGCGUCAAAAGCCGAUAAAGCAACCUGCACUCAACAGUUGGGGAAAAAAAAACAUCUUGUGAAUCUCAUGUUGUGUCAGAAAAGUUGUUUCUUCAACGGCAAAAUCCAUUUUAUUUAUAAAGUUUGUCACCCUAUGCUUAAACAGGAGGAGGUUGAACUAUACCACAAAGCAUCGAAUGAGGAAGCAAGUAAAGCAUAUGGCAGUUACAGAUCCAACCUGCAAUCAUUUUUUAAGAAAAAGGGUAUUUAAAAGCAAGUAAGCAUGAUUUAGGCGGAUCCACAAUAUACAUGAAAACUCAUACGUAACGGCUAAAAAGCCUACAAAUAACAACCUUGAUCCUACUCUAAACCCUUAUCAAUUCUUUACUUUUUCUAUUUUCUUUUAUAAGAAACUUAUCUAUUUUUUUCUCAUCUUCAUUGAGGUGAAAUUUUAAUGUAGUUACAAAUCCUACAGCCUGAGGAAAGGGUUCAGAUGUCGAAGACAUGUAUGUGUAUAUAUGAUAUGUCUUAAGCUUAUUAAUAUCACAUUUUCCAAAUGAUAUACUUAAGUUUAAAGUAGGAAUAAUAAAAUGCACACGUUGCAGAAACCAAACAAUGUCUUCUAAACCUACAGCCCCCUUGUAAUUAUGGCAUCUCAGGUGACAGUUUCUACGGAAAAGCAAAUGGAGUUUGACCAGAUAAUUUGUGUGUAUAAACUUUAGAACUUACGUCAUCUGUUGCUAAAAUAUUACAUGCAGAUGUGGAGGAUAGAAAUCUUCAUAAGUAACUCAAUUUUCCUCAUACAAUAGGAAGAAAAGGGCGUUUGUGGUUACAUCAUGAUAGAGCACGAAUAAACAAUGGACACAUACCUCAUGAAGUUUCUUCCUUCUCCCUUUAGAUUCAAUUGGAAAACGUCUAAGCAUGAAAAACAAUCUAAAGAUUUUCAAACAAGAGAAGUAGUCAGUAAGGGUAAUCAAAGAUAAUACAAAAUCUAGAUGCAUUGAAUAAUAAAUUGAAAGGUCAUGAAGUAGAUACUCACCUUCCACCGUAUAUCAAGAAGCCUAAUGCAGCUAUGAACGAUACCACUGACAAAAUCAAAGGAAGCAAUGGUUAUUAGAAAGGGAUAAAAUAAUGACAUUAUCUUCUAGACUCAAACUACAAAACUUGACCUCUUGUACACAGGAAACAAAUCACUGGAGACAGACUAACCUGCAAUGAAAAUUUUUCCAAUGAAUUCUACCACACUGUUGUCAUUCACUCCGAUGUAUAUCCAAAUGCAAACCUGUCCAUAGAUUAUUAAAUUUGAUUCAGUAAAAUCCCUCCUCGGGAAUUUAAAUACAAGGAACUACCUCACCCUUCCAAAUAAUAUUCAAAAUUCAGUCAAGGAUUUUCAAGUACGAAUUGGCUACUUAUUGAUUUCAAACAAGGGUAGUUGAGAGUAACGGUGUUAAAAAUACCUGUAUGAGAUAUAUCACACUGUUGAUUGAAAUGUAAACUGUUCUUAGUUUAUCUGUUGGCAGACUUCUUGCCUGUGCAUCAAAACAAUCGAGGACAACUCAGCAAUCCUCAUUGUGCCCAAAAUGAUGGCAAUAUCAAUGACAGCUCAGACACUAAAAAGGGAAGACAGCCUUGAUUGCAAUAAAGAAAAUUUUAAAAGAAAACAGACAGCAAUACAAUAAACAAAACUUGCCUGGUGGUAUAUCUCUGCCCAGAAGAGGACCAGGAGUGUGUACGUUGAGAAAAAAAGAAGCCCAGGAAGUUCCAACAAUAACAAUAGUAGAACCUGAUUCAGAAUUAAUUGACAUACCUCAGUAUACAAGAUAUAGUCUUCAUCACACCUUUUUAAGAUUUUCAGAGGCCAUGGGACUAUUGAAAUCUUUAAAAUAUUAAGAGAUUCUAUAAAUAAAGAAAAAGGGAAGAGAAACUAAGAUGCCACUUGGAAACGUAGCUAAAAGAGCCGGUAACUUUAAUUUGCUAAACAAUAGAGAAAAUGUCAAGAUGAUCUAUAAAAAUUGCAAGAGUUCCAAAAUUGUAGAACAUUUGUAACGAAGAUCUUCCACAAAAGACAACAAUACGAUGUGUAAUCUCUUAUAUAGGUUAUCAUCAACAUCAAUAUUUUAAGAGAACUAAUGUGCAAUCUUUUAUCUCGUAAAACAGCUUGGCAAUAAGUAGAUAAGAUAAUGGUGGUAAAUGUCUUUUUCACUACGGUGGAAAAAAUUAAGAACUUAAAUUCGAGCCCAGGAAAGGUUAGGAUUCAGUCAAAUAAAUUUUUUAAUAUAUUUCUGUUGUAACAGAACGUCUGUUAUAACAAUUUCCAGAUUCUGAUUGUAAAUAUCUUUGUAAAUCUAGAGUAUUGGGUACUUAUAAGUAGGCUACUUUACUUCAUCAUCAAAAACAGUGGAAUACAGAUUAUUCAUUCUCCAAAUCUCUAGAGUUUCAAUUGGCGAAUCCCAAAUAAUAUCAAAGAUCCAGAUAUGGUCCAGGUAAAUUUUCAUAAAUGAUAUCGAAGGUUCAAACACUACUCGUGCAAACUUACCUUUGGUUGCAAAAGAAACACUUGCUUGUGGAGCCCAAACACAAUUGCACGUACUGAAUCACGAAGUUUGAAACUAUCAAUUAAAACCUUAGAAUGCCUCCUUCGAGAAUAAAGUCGAACGCUAUUUUUAUAUUACCUCCAUUGACAAUGAAAUUCAUGAGAUGGAAAACUUUCUGUGUCGUCCAGCCAUAUUCUGGAACUCUCAAUUCGAUCCUUAUCAGUUGAAUCUGCACGCACGUACACAAAAUAAGUUCCAGAUGCCCAGAAUCUAACACAGAAAUCUUUAUUCUACACCUCUACUUUGCUCCCCCAUUCUUGUUAAAGCGAACGCAAAGCUAGACAUUGAAAGCUUAAAGAAGCCCUGAUUACUUGGGGAAAAGCAUUCAAAGCCCGGAAAGUAAAUGAAUUAAAUAAUGGGAAACACAAAUUGUACUUAUUGGAAUAUGAAAUUUCCAUUUCCCAAAAUUCACAUUAAAUAAACCAUAACGAUUGGCUCCCAUCAGUGAGUAAAAGGAGCAAUUCUAGGAAAUGGAAACGCACCCAAACCUACCAAUUUACUCAAUUAGCAAUCAAAUACAAAACCAUAACCACACAUAGCAGAUAAGUUUAGAUGGAUGGGGUAGGGAAGCAAAAGAGAGAGAGAGACCAAAGCAACGGCGGAGACUAGCGCAUAUACAGCACAAAGAGAGUAGAAAAUCCGAUCCUGCCAAAAAGUAGAUUCGUUGAUGUCAUUCCACCAGCUGGAUGCCGUAACUCCCAUCUCCAUGGUCGUCGUCAAGUUCAGCUGCAAUCUCGUCAUUCUUCCCUAAAUAGUAAAGAAUCUUUCCCACUAUCGCCCUCCCUCUCCGCCGUAGAAUCAGAGAACCGAGAAUCUGAUGAAUUGAGAAGACCAAGCGAACGCCGGCAAGAGAGGCACCGGAACGCCGGCGAGGAGAGAGGGGAGACAGAGGAGAAAAGGGAUUUUUCUUUGGGUUUUUUGGACUUCGGCCUUUUUGUUUAUUUUGGUCGCUCUUUCCAAAGUAAUCAAUUCAUAAUUCACGAAGGCUGUGGAAAAGAACAAAUGGAGUAAUCAAUCGUUCCCUCCACAUACUUUAUAAAAUGUCAUAUUUUAUCCCUAACCUCUUUUAAAUUAUUAUACCAAAAUUAACCCAAAUAUUUAUUUUCAAAAUAAACUAUACAUUACCUUCAUUAAUAUUUGUUUAUCAAUAUUUCUUUUUAAACUUUUGUUAUUCAUUUGAAAUUACUUUUCUUUGUUUAUUGUUUUUCUUUUUUGGUUACCUUGUGUCAAGCUGGAAUCUUCCCAUUUUAGAUAUUCAAAUUAAGGCUAAGAUUAUAAUUUGGUGACAUCAUUUCGAUAAGCAUAAACUUUGAUUUGGUCCCUUGUGGAGUUUUUUCUACUAAAUACAAUUUUGGUAGUAUACUCCCCAUUUUAAUUUCUUCUUUUUAACAAACGUUAAAAUUAAUCUCUUAAUAUGAAUAAAUUGAUUAAGAAAUAAUAAUUAUCGUAUACGAAAAUAAAGUAUUUGGACAUAUUUUCAAAAUUUCUAAUAAAAUGUUAUAGGUAAUAACACUCUUCUUAAUUAAAUAGUAAGAAGUCAAGUUAGACAAAGUGACUAAUUGUUUUUAAAUUGUAUUUUACCCGAUUGUGAACUACAAAUUUGGGCAGCAGCAGCAGCUAGUUAAGUGUGAUCAGCCAAAUAUAAAUCUGCUAAGCGAAAACAAAUUGUUGUCAGGUGCAUGAUUUGAGUAUGAAAUCUGUUAAAUACAAAUCAUUAAAUAAUUUAGAAAGAAGACAAAUAAAAUGAAUGGAAGUCUCGUCCAAACAAUACAAACCAAAUUUGAAAUCGAAUGGAUAUAAUGUGUUGGACGGUUCAUCUUUUUGUUUUAAUUUCCUUUUCUUUAAUGAUAAUGUAGUCAUGCUUAAUCUAAUAAUAGAAAAAUAUUUAAUUCUUCUUUAUUCAAGUUGAAAUAGUUAAGUUAAUUGUAGCAACGUGAAAGCAGGAAUUAAUGAUUGAAUUUAGGAGGUGUUUUUCCAUCCCUUCUUGUAAAGAAAAUGAACUCCCUUAAUGGUAAGUAAAUUAUUUCGCAUGGUAUUUAUCUAUAAUGAGUCCAUAUUCGAAGCAAAAUUUGUAUUGAAUAUGAAAUCAUGACGUGCAUAUCUCACAUGUUAUGCUUAAAAUAAGUUUUUUUUUUCUUCCUACUAUUUGAUAGAGGAACAUGAUAGACUAAAAACUUGAGCCGACCAAUCAAAUCGAAGUCAGUCUCUUGAAAAAUAAGAGAGAUCGUUUCGAAAAGUUUGAAAUCGAGAAUUUUCAAAAUUAUUUUGAAAUGUUAAACCGAUCCGGCCGAUCUUACUCAAUGAUGUUAAAGUCGGGAAGAAAACAACUCCACCAACCUAUUAACACCCAUAUUAUUGGCUUCUAGGUCAAUUUUUAAUAAUUAUAUAUUUAUUUUGUGGUUAAGCUAUCACCGUGGGAUCCGUGGCGCAAUGGUAGCGCGUCUGACUCCAGAUCAGAAGGUUGCGUGUUCGAUUCACGUCGGGUUCAAAAUCCCGAUCUUUAACGGAUCAUUUUUUUUCCUCCCUUUUCCUCCAUCUGUACCGUUCGUUGAUCAUACUUUUGAAAUCUCAGAUUUUAACAACGGACAAGAUUAAAGGUUUCACCAGUCUUACGUGUUUCGCAUCUGCACUAGAUUGGCUUAGCCCCCGCCUUCGUCUUCAAGUUUUUGUACAAAACCCUAGACCUCAUUUCUCAAGUUUUAUCUGCUGACGAGUCUCGAGCUAUGGCGCUUCUCUAUCGCCUCCGUUCUGCUUUCCCUUCGAACUCGACUUAUAUCAACUAUCGUCUUCACUACCGUUCUCUCUCCACAAUCCUUUCUCCUGAUUCCUCUAAUCCCUUGUCAGCGAAACAGAAGUCCAGGGCUGCACUGUCCCUACUGAAAACGGAGGAAAAUCCUGAGCGCAUUAUUGAUAUUUGCCGAGCUGCUAGUCUCACUCCAGAAUUUCAUCUCGAUCGUAUCGCUUUCUCUGUUGCCAUUUCCAAGCUCUCAAAAUUUAAGCAUUUCGAUGGGAUUCGCCGGUUCCUCGAGGAAUUGAAAUCUCGUCCCGAUUUGAAGAACGAGCGUUUUGCUUGCCACGCUAUUGUUCUUUAUGGCCAGGCUAAUAUGCUUGAUCAUGCUAUUAGAACUUUCAAGCAAAUUGAUGAACUGGGUGUGCGUCAUUCGGUUAAAACGCUAAAUGCAUUGCUAUUUGCUUGUAAUUUAGCUAAGGAUUACAAGGAACUGAAACGGGUUUAUAUGGAGUUCCCUAAGAUUUAUGGAAUCGAACCGGAUAUCGAUACUUAUAACAGAGUGAUUAAGGCGUUUUCGGAGUCGGGUUCGUCGAGUUCAGUGUCUUCGAUUGUGGCAGAGAUGGACAGGAAGGAUGUCAAACCAAAUGCGACUACUUUUGCGAAUUGGCUUGCUGGGUGCUACAUGGAAGAGAAGUUUGAGGAUGUUGAGAAGGUCCUAAAUUUGAUGGAGAAAUAUGGCGUGCGACGUGGAGUUGCUACAUAUAAUGCAAGAAUACGCAGUCUUUGCAAAUUGAAGAGAUCAACAGAAGCAAAAGCUUUAUUUGAUGGGAUGUUAUCCAGAGGUAUGGAUCCAAACUCUGUUACAUAUUGUGAAUUGAUUCAUGGAUUCUGUAAGGAAGGAAAUCUAGAUGAAGCUAAGAGCAUUUUUAAAAGAAUGAUCAACAGCGGUUGCCAACCAGACAGUGAGUGCUAUUUCACUUUGACUUACUUCCUUUGUCGAGGAGGAGAUUAUGAAACAGCAUUCAAGAUCUGUUUGGAGAGCAUGAAGAAGGGGUGGGUUCCAAAUUUCAGUACAAUGAAGUCUCUUGUUGAUGGGCUAGUUAGUAUUUCGAAGGUCGAAGAGGCAAAGCAACUUAUUGGGCAAAUCAAAGAGAGGUUCUCAAAGAAUGUUGAGAAGUGGAGUGAAAUUGAAGCUGGAUUACCUCAGUGAGGAAAUUCUGGGUUCCUGUGCAACUAUCAAUACCAAGUGAGUCUUGAGGAAAAACUAGAGAACGAGGAAUUUUUUCUUGGCUUGAGCUAAUCACUCUCUGCAUAUGUUUUACAUUGAUGCAGUUAAUUGAUUUGUCAGGAAGCUGUUAUCAAAAAGCACUUUUUGUGACCCUUCUGAGAGGCUAUGCUGAAUUUCUACUGUCUUUUAUGUUCUAGCUUUACCACUGGCUGAAAUUUGUAAUGCUGUAGUUGAAUGAAUUCUCUAACUAUUGGUAGGCUCUGACCUGCUUCAAGAAGGGUGAUAAUGUGCUUGAAAUGUUGUCGUUGACCUUCCUGUUAGGUUAGUAAUUGCUGUAUUGAUGGAAGCUAGAUUGUUUUGAGCAAUUUUGUAUGUCAAUAAAGAUGAAACUUAACAUUGGAUUUUAUGCGUCUUCAGAUUUAAUCAUAUCUUUCUUGUUAUAAUUCAAAAUAUUCCCUCUGUGCGAUGGUGAAUUUGGAUAGCAAGUAAUUGCCUGAUAAAAUGCUUAUGUUUCUUCUGCAUGUCUUCAAUUUUUUGAUUUGCUACGAAAACAAAUAUACUUGGUGAACCAUGUGUCCAAGAGAACUAAUAUUUUUAGAGAGAAUGUUUCAAAAUACAAUAAAGUGCCACUAGGUAGUUUUUUUUAAACUAACGUAAAUAUAUGUGAGAUCCUGGGUUGUUUGUAGUGCCAGUUACAAUUGUGUUUGCUCAUUCUUGAAUCUGAGGUGUAUGGGGGAGGCAGGAAAGUGUAAUGAAGAUCACAAAAUUGAAGAAUUUCUUAUAUUUUUCACAACUAUAUUACAUCUCUGCACUAAUUCUUUUCCUCUCUCUUCUCUGUCUCAUGGACCUGCAAGGAGAAACAUCUGAAGAGCCACAGUUCUUCCAUACAAUUGAAUAUUUUCUCCUAAACUGGAUUGUACCUUGAUGAUUGAAACUUGAAACAGCUAAUUGGUUCCCUUUCUCUGUGGCUUGGAAAUCCUAGGAAGUUCCUUCAUAGAAUUUGGAAACACAAACCAUAUAAAGCACCAGCAACAUUGAACAACUCAAAUUUAAGAAAAGCUGCCUUUUAGCUUCUCUUGCAGAUCCUGACCUCAUGAUACAUAUUCUGAGGAUUAUGAAACAUCCAUCUGCAUCUACAUGUGCAAGCUAUGGAAAUCAUUCUGAAGGAUCGUAUAACUCAACCCAGAAAUCUUAUUCAUUCGAUUGCUUCUCGAAGCAUCAAAAGUCGAGCACAUUUUUGUAACAAAGCGAUUGCUGGUUAGCUUCGUCUUCCUUCGCCAUGACAUUAAAGAUUGCCAGAAGGUGGGUGGUGAACUUCUACAGCCAGACGAAGCCAUUUCAGGUCCUUGAGACCUCUGUGAGCUGAUGGAGGUUUCAAGCUCAAUCUUGGCAAAAUAAUCUAUUUCCUUCUUGACGAGUGAACCAAUGGUUCCUCGAGUUCCAAUGGCAACAGGAGCAAUUGCAGCCAUUCCGUAAUGGGAUUUGUAGAAUGUGUUGGUGGGUUUAUUAUGUUGCAUUCGUUUUGAUGUUGUAAAUUUGAAGAAACGGAAAGAAGGUUUUGGGAUGAAGGAUGUGAGAUGUUGUAGGGUCCUUUUUCCUGAAGGGGUUGUGAUUUGUUUGCUUUGAAUCUAAGCCAACUCCUUUGUUUUGAUCUUUUUAUAAAGCCAUCUGUUGAAGUAAAGUGCUUUGGAAGAGAUAGAGAGCAGCCUCCGCUUGAGAUUUUUAUAUAAUAUUUCAUUCUGAAUGUGAAUGCUGCGAAGAAGCAUCGUAGUGUUUCCCUGUCCCCGACGAUAUUAUGAUUCCUUUUCUAAUCUCUACUAAUUCGGUUGCCCACAUUAUUUUCAUCUAUUUGUCAAGAAGUUUCGAGAUCAGUUUCAAUUUAGUUCGUGUUACAAAAUAUUAUAAAUCUACACUUGUGAUUUGACUUUUGUUUUCAUCUCUAAAUUUUAAGAAUUACAUUUUUUUACCUUAAUUUAAAAAAUAAAUUUCCACUUUUAGUUUUUGGUUUUUGAUGUCAAUAUUGAUUAAUUUUAAAUAAUUAUUUUGUGAAAUUUUAAAUUUAAUAGAGAUGAAAUUACAACAUUGAAUCUUAGGGAUUAAAAACAACUUUUUUCUUUUAUACAUAAAAUUUAUCUUACGAUGAUUAUUUCUGUUUGGAGAGUGGUUUUAGAUUCAGGGUGAACUCUCCCCUAAACAAAUGAUUUUGGCUAACCUAUUGAUUAAAAAUAGAAUUGAAAGUGUUGUUUUGUAAAAAAGAACUCCUCCAAAAUGUCUUUUUAACAGAGAACUUACUCCAUAUUAUUUUGGGAAGAAAUGAUUUAGUUUUGAAUAAAAUACUCUAAUUUUUGUGGAUAUUUUUUAAAAUUCUAUUAUAUUUAAAAGUACAAUAAUGAUAGAAAAUGUAUCGUCGUGAUUUGUUGGUUGUGCCUUUUAUGUUUCAUUUUUUGAGAACAGAAUCACCUUUUUAAAUUGAAAAUUAAGAUCAAUGCUUUUAAAAUAAAAGUGGGAUGUUGAUUUACUCAAUAGAAACACAGUGCAAUUGAGUUGUGAAGAUUUCUUCUGCACCCUACAGGAAGCCAAAUCCAUCCAUUGAUCAUGAAAAGGGUUGAUGAACUUUCCCAUCUUGCCUCCUUUGCCUUCUUAAGAAUCUAAGAUAAAUGAGGAGUUCUGGUUUUGGUUCGAUAUAAUAUUCAAUUUUUGCAAAAUAUUAUACGAUUAGUAACUUGGGCAAUUUUUUUUGUCUUGGAGGCACUAAACUUCUAACUUUUUUUGUUGAGAUAUGUUUACUAAUUUUGUAAAAUGCAAUCAUAUGAUACUUCAAACCCAAUGCAUCCAAGUUCCAACCAUAUGUCAACUUUUUGGUAGUUGGGUAUUCCAAUGGAGAGACAAAAUAGAAGCAUAGUAAUCAGAAGAGAAUUAAUCGAUUUACAUGUAAAUUUGCCCAAACAAAAGUUAUAGUUGAACAAAUAAGAGCAAUGAAAACCUUUCUGAGUGCCUUAUAUCUAUAAUAUGGCAUUCAAAAAAGUAGUUAUUAGCUAUAAUGAACAAAAAUAGCCUCAAAAUUGUAUCUUCCCUCUUAUUUUCUUAAAUAUUCUCUAUACUUCGGUAAAAAACCACCUACUCGCACUAUUGAGUAUUGUCUCUCUAUAUUAUAAAUCUCUUUCAUUCAUUUUAGUUAUGAAUGUGAGAUUGAUGAAGAUAUUAUUGGACACUAGGGAGAUGGCAUGUAUACCUUAACUUCCUAUGCGAAGCAAGAGCUUGAACUAAAGCAGCAUUUACACUUGCACGCUCUCGGAAUAAUGAGUCGUACAAGUGACAAACAAACUGUGAAAGUUCCCCUUCGUCAUCAUCCCAGACAUCAAACGGAUAAUUUUCAAUUUUCUCAGCAUCACUGUCUUCCCAGUCACUUACCGGACUAGAAAGCUCCGCAUCGUCAUCUUCUCCCUCCUCUUCCCCAAUCUCAAACUUCCCAUUUUCCACAGUUUCGUAUUCCCCUGUUUGGAAUGUUGUUGAUUGUGUUUCGGGGGGUUCGUUUGAAGAACAUAUUACAGCUUUAGCUCCAGAAUCCAAAAAGGCUCUGAUUAAAGCUGGGGUUGGCCCAUGAGUUCCGGUGCAGAAAAUGAUCCUGUCCCUCCAAGCACCAACCUAGAGAAAAUUCAGAAAUACAAAUAGUGGAUGAGUGACAUUAAGGGGAGAAAGAUAUGGGUACAAGCGGAUUAACCAUUCUUUCUGUACUAGAACUAUAACUAUAUAUUUAGGGUCUUAGUUGAUUCACUCUUCCUCCACCAAGUGGGGCUGACAAAUCUAACGUACAAGUUUCUAUACAUCAAAUCUCAAGUAUCAUAAGUAUCAUCUUGAAACUUAUUAGAAAACCAUCUUUAAAACUUACUAUCCUUGCCGUAGAACAAACUAAUAAGAUAAUGAGUACAAAAACUGGAAAAAAUAAUAUUCUAAAAGCCUUCAAGGAUAUAGCCUAAAGGAAAAAGCAAUUGAAUCAUUAACCUAUUCUCCAAAGUAUUUACGAUAGUUCUCGAGGAAUGUAGGUUGCGAAAGAAAUUGGCUAAGGACAGGAAUAUAGAUAGAACUAGCACCAUGAUUCAAACCAAGGCCAACGACAAACAUCUAGAAGGGAAAGGAAGGAGGACAAAAUCAUCCAAAUCUUGUUCGAAAAACCAAAGUGUUCUGACAAAGAAACUACAUGAAAAAAAAAACCAAACAAAAGCAGUUGAAGAAAAUAUCUAUUCAUGAGAAAUUAUGAAACAAAAAAUCUCAUGGACUUUCACCGUUCCAACAAUCUCCUAGAAUGAACUUGAAACCCUCCCUCAAUAGAGAGUUCUUUAACAUCUCUAACUAAUUAAACAUGCGUCAAUUAUCAUAAGGGGUAAGAAUUUGAAGACAAAAAAAAAAAGAGAUUGAUCAUAACAGAAAGAGACUUGAAGCCCUACCAUCCAACGAACAUCAUCAGGUGAUAAGUGCAAGGAAGGAACAGUUCUACGAAACAAGUAAGCUGCAAUUUCUUGGUUAUCCUCCAUAACCUUCAACAAUAAACAUCAAUGACAUUCAGAACUGGAAUUCUCUGCAUUGUGACUUUUGACUACAACAAGAAAUCACGAGGAAGCAAAGAAAAAUGCCAAGAUAACAUACUUGGGUUUGUCGUCCUAAAUAACGAUGGACGAUACCUCCAAUUUCGAAGUAGGGUUUGAGCGCUACCAAAUCCGACACAGUCAAGACAUUGGAAAGCAAUGAUGCGCCCUUUCUACGAUGACUCCGCAUGGUGGACAACAAACUAAGCUUAACACUUUGUAGAAAUUUCUCUGCAAGUUCCCCGGGUUCUGCAACUACAAAAACAUCAUUUCGCCAACUACAAGAAUAAAGAAUAAGCAAGUCAGGACCAAAUGCAAAGGUUGCAACUAAAUUCACAAAUCAUAAAUGUCUGUACACAUGUUGACCUUAAUAUUGAGCCGGAUGAGUCAUUUUGAAGGGCUAAAUGUACAAUGCCCACUUGAGGUGAAUUUUGUAACUUCUCAUGCAAUGCCCGUACAGGCAAGGAGAGUUCUCUGGGUCCUGAAGGAGACUCGGGGGUGAAUGCUGCUCCUUUACCCAAAUGACCAUCUAAGUUUAACGGUGGGACCAUAUCAAUUCGACCAAGCCUUUGAGGUCCAACAUCAGGACUAUAAAGAAGUGGGCUUGAUGGAAAGCUUCCAGUAAACAAGGGGGAUGUAAAAGGUGUUGGGAAUGUUGAUGAAGGAACAGUCUUCAAAGCCCCAGAUGUUCCUUGCAUAAGGGAUAUUCGAAUUCCAUUUUUGGAACAAAAUGCUUCAAGUUCACGAGCAUGAUACAUAACUUUUCCAGUAUCAGGACUACUGGAAGCUUCAACCAGUAGUACAUUCCGUCUCCAACCCAAAGAAGGGCUAUUUUCAUCUAGCAUUUCCAGAAAUCAGUCAAAUAAUUGGUUAGUUCAAAAAAUACAAACAGAAUGACUGAGAAGUUGAAAAUGCUAUGAGGACAAAACAAACACCUAUGGAUGAUGCCAUGACUCUGGAGAAAUGAAGUGAAUUUAAGUUCUCCGACCACUUCUCAUCAUGUUGAUAAGGCAAGAUUAAUCUUUCACAGGCAUUCUUGAAGGCCAGAUUAUUACUUUGGAUAUACUCCUCAACUGCAGCUUCCAUCUUUAGCCACACUGCUGGAUCAGUUUCGUCCAGUUCCAUGUCACAUCGUUCAUCCACUGCAAUAGAUAAAUAAAAAUAAAAUAAAAUAAACUGAGAAUAAUAUGCACAUCUCUGUUCUCGAAAUAGACGUGCCAGAGGAUGACGCUAAGUUCUUUUAAGGUCAGAAUUUGGUGAGGGCAAAUAACUGCACAAAUGAAAUUUCACAGAAAUGCUAAAGCAAUUUCCCAUUGCACAUUAAGAUAUCAUACCUGGGUUAAACCGGAAAUAAUGUAUUUCAGGCAGCAUAGGUAACAACGUACUCAAGGCUUCCUCCACUCGGUCCACAGAGCAUGCACUCUCAAUAAGCACUUGUCCAGUGUCUAAAUAACGCCAUCCACCUUUCCUCACCUAAACCAGUCAAGACAGUUAUAGAGCAUUUAAAUAAUCUAAUUAUUCAUACGAAAAGUAAAUUACCUUCAUUGGAGUAGAGCCACAGCCAAUGGAAACUAAGCAGUCAAUUUUUGUGUCAGGCCAUAGAAGUUGUGCUUCUCUGAUGGCAAAGAUAGUAGGAUUGUUUGCCACAAUGGCUCCAUCUUGCCAGCGAUUUACGUCUUCAAAAAUUUCAGAGGACCAUGAACAAAUAUAUCAAAGAUCAAGCAUUUUCAUCUUUAAUCUUUAAUAAACUAGAAGUAGGACUGAGAAUCGUUAGUUAACAAUUAUGUUCACCCUAUUCUCAUGACAAUCAAAGGAAGGAUUUGUAGUAUUUCAUUCAAGUCAUGAUGUCCAUCCUACUCGCAUGUUUUUAUUCACAAGCAACUUAAUUUCACUUCAAAAUUGCAAUUAAAAUUCACUACACAAAUACAAAUUAUCACCAAUUUAAGAAACACGUUGAGUUUAUUUAUGCAAUUUAUUAAUUAUAUCUAAUCAUAUUCAUUUAAAAGCUACUUUGUUAAAACCUAGAAUAAAAUUUAAGUACCCAAAUCUAUGGUAUUAAUUAAUAAUAAAGGAGAAUAAUAAUAUAUUUACUUAUACGAAAACUAGUAAAAAAUACCAUCUGAAAAAUCAUCAAGAUAGUAAGGUGCAGCAGACGAAGCUCUUAUAGCUUUCCAUACUUGGUGCUUGCAACUUCCAAUGAAAGCACUGCGUUUAUAGCCAUCUUGGGCACUGGCCAAAGGUGAUCCAAACACAGUAAUUCCUGAACUGUCUGAAAUUGCAAGAGGUACCUCCGGUGUUCCGACAGGAUACUGCAAAAUUGUAGAAUGCAAUGGAGCAAUUGCUACAAUCAGAUCUAGGAUUACAGUUAAUACAAAGGAAAACAAGUUGCUUUAAUAAAUUGUGUCCGAAAAAAAACCAGAUACUAAAAGGUCUUAUUUAAAGUCUUCUUCUGAAAAGAGGAUUUUCUUUGAGUUGUUCAAGGAACGAAUUAGGAGCCUUGACUGUCCUGGCCGUUUCUAUUUCAUGUCUCAUUUCAAGUAUCUCUCUCUCUCUCCAGUUUUGUUAACUGUUCACUUAUUUCUUUAGAUUAUGCUUGGCUUAACUUAGACUAAACCAUUAUGCUUACCUUAAACCUUAAAUUGGAUUAGACCAUGCAACAUUGAUCCUAUUUGUUUCUUAUCGGAAGAGUCUGAUUGUUUUUUUUUCUUAAAUAUGAAUAACUUUUCAGUUUUCAUCGAGAUACGGAAACUUCAGGAAAACAACCUCCAAAGGGAUUAAAACAAACAUAGACAACUAAAAAUAAAAAUAGGCCAAUACACAACCCACCAAAAGAAAAAAACCAACUAAAAGCUCUUAGAGGACCAAUAACAUGGAAAAAUCAUUUCCCAUUGUACUAUAACUGUCUUGUCGUCCAUAUAAAAACUUAUCAGGAUAAAGAAAAAAACCAAUUAAAAUCUCUUAGAGAUUCAAUAACAGAUAAAAAUUCAUUUCCUUUUGCCAUAACUGUCCUGUUACUGGGCGUGGAAGAUAAAUUUUCAAUGUAGCAUAAAAUCCAUUUCAUGGCUUCUUUUGUAGCUGCCAGUGCUGAAAGGACUGCAUUUAGAAACAACAGGAAAAAAAUUCUCUUUUAUUGUGAUUGAACUAUCCUUUCGUCACAUGCAAAGAGAUAACAAUCAGAAUUCAGAGAGUGGAACAUAAAUUUUCAGUAUGGCAUAAGGUUUGUUUCAUGGCUUCCUCGUGUUUCUGCAUGCUGAAAAUCAUCUAAUGCAUAUUGUGGUUCUUUUCUUCUAACAUACAACUUCUGAGCCCUACUUAAAAGAAGAUAGAAGUCUUGAUCUCAAACCUGAUAAUUGCGGAAUAAGAAUGGCUGAGCUGGUACCAUGCUCAUCAAGGUUGACACAACAAAUACUUUCGGGGGGUUUCUAACUGCAGAUUCUAUUAAUAGGUCCCCAUCCUCAUCUGCGCACAUUUCCUUCAAUAGCCUCUCAAAUUGAUCAGCGCUAUGCUGCAAGACAUCAUCGCAAGAGCAUAUUCAAUCAGCAGCUGGUUGGUGAUAACAAAAUGCAAACAACAAAAGUUUACAUAAUUAUACAUACAUCCUAAGUUCCUUAACGGAAAGAACACGAUGUAUCUACAAUGUUUGGUCAUUUAUAAAUAUAAUUUUAAACAAUAAGUUAGAUAAGUGACCAUUAAAAAAGGCCUGUUGCUUUGCUUUUCAAAGAGCCAAGAAAAUCAAAUGCUGGGUUGACCAAUUCAACAAUAAUUUUCUUUCAGAAAGUUGAAAAUACAACAAGAGCUUCCCAAGCGGAAACACCACAGCAUACACAAAGUGAUGCAAGAAAUCAAGAAAAUAAUUACUUUAGAUCCAUGGACAACAACUCUGAAACUCUGUGAAGAACUUUUGUAAAGUUGAUCCAGCUUUUCUCUCCAGGAAGCAGCUUCACUGUCCUUUGGUGUAGGCUCAGCAAAGACGAGCUUUCCUAUAAUCCAAAAAACAAAAAAAAAGGAAGUUUGACCACAAAUUGAUGAAUUGCACAAAAUUUAAUCAUAGCUUAUCUUUGCAGCAUACUUACCAAGAUUUUUAUAUAUUUCUUCACAUUGAUCCAAAGUCAUUUGCUUAAUCCCCAGGGCAACAGCGAGCAUGCCUCCAGUCGAUGUGCCACAUAUAAGAUCAAACAAUUCAUGUAUCUGCCUUCCAGUCCCCUUCUCAAUUUCUUUAAGUAUUUGAACUGUUGCCAAACCUUUCAUGCCACCGCCAUCCAUUGAGAGUAUCCGCAGUCCUUGCUUUGCUACUUGUCUUCCUUUCAUGGCACGCCGUAAAUUUUCAUUCUCCCCUACCCAAAAAGAAAAGGGAAAAGAAGAGAAAAAAAAAUCAAAUUGAGGAAUGUGAGAACGUGAAUCUCAGACGUACAAAUUAAAUUUGAUAAAAAAAACACAAACCAAGGAUUGCUAAAGCUCGAGCUGCAGCUUUAUUCACACGUGGGUUAGGUGCAACUGUCAAGCGUAAGAGUAGUUCGCGCAACUUUUCAGAAGUAACUAGAAUGCGACGAUUGUCUAAGCAAAAUGCCAAGUUUCCAACUGUCAAUAAAGCUGCCCUUUGCACCUGCAGAAAAAGAUUGUGAGAAUUACAUACAAAAGAGUAAAGAAACAAGGAACUUUGGUUGACUGAAGAAUUUGUAGACUUGCCUCUGGAUUUUUCUGGGCACACAACAACUUCAGGGAUUUUAAAAGUUCCUUAGUCAACAUUUUCUGAGCUACAGUAUCAGAUGUGAAAGCCAACUUAGCCACAACGUGCAAUACAGAAAUUACUUCAUCCUGUGAAACAGAUUUUAGGACACUUUUAAUGGGCUGCAUUAUGUCUGCUUUCAUCAACUGCAUGGCAAUGGAGACAUCUGCAGCAAGAGAAGAAAGAGCAAAGCAUGCUUGUACAACCUGCCAUAAAUAACAACUGUUUAAAAUAAACCUAGCAGUAGAGUCUCAAUUUAAAAAAAAAAACAGCAAAAAGGAAUAAUCAGUUCAGAAACAUAAGUCUCACCACAUGACGGUUCUCACUGCUUAUCAUACUUAUAAGCUGAUGAAUUGCAUUCUCAUCUUUACUAAUAACUGCACGAUUUCCUUCAUCUUGCAUGAUUUUUGCUAGGGCAGAUGCUAGCAAAGGGUGGUGACAGGAAGAAAAACGGAAAAUAAGGGAGAAGAAGGCACUAAGCUUAUGUCUGGAUGCACCAAAAUAAGAGUUAUUUUCCAUCUGCACAUAUCAACAGCAAAAUCAAUCAACACAAAAUGUUAUGUCAAUCCUUUAUUUGAAUAUUUGCACUAUUGUGUUCAAUACUACCUCUAUUUGAACAUCCACAGAUCUCAAGUUUUCAUCUGCCACAAUUCUGAUAUUUGCAAGAGAAAGAUGGCGUAACUUGUGCAAUGGCAAUAUUUCAGGAAGAAAUUCAAGAGGGUUACCAAAUAGUCUAAGAACACGCAACUCAGCCAUAGCCCUGUCAGAAAGCUGGAGAAGAUCAUUAGACCCAAAAAAAAAACUAGGGAUCACCAAGAACUCUUUAAACAAAGGGGUAGUAACAGUGUAAAGUACAAAGCACGAAUUGCUGUUUAUCUAAAUAAGACAAAUAACCUGAAGUCAAGAAGAGGCCUAACGAGUUUGUUGUGUUCCAAUGAUAGCUCCACCAGUCCAACACACUGCCUCAAUUCCACUGCUCAAUAUUGUUUCAAAAAUCAAAUAAUACGGCAGGAGACUUGUCGAUGCAGCUCAAACUAGAGGCUCAUUUAUACUUGGUCUAAAUCAAGUUUCUACCAUGCACCAGUGCCCUUGUAAGUUUUAGAAAACAAUGCUUACCUGGUACGGAAACCAGAAAGUUGAAAUCAACUCGGAGCACUUUCAGAUUUUUUAUCUCACCAAGCUCAGGCGGCAAAACCGUUAGUUUAUUGUUUUCAAGGUAUAAUUUUUCCAGUAGUGGCAGUCGAGUUAAAUCUGCAGGCAAUGCCUGGAAUGAACACAAAGAAAUAUUCAUAAACUCAACUUCCAACCAUACUUCCAACGACCACAGCAUUCAUUCAAAAUGAUUGACUCAUAAGAAUGAUAACAAGAAGCAAUCAAACAUUAUUGAUCAAUCAAAAGGAGCAAGAAAACUAAAAAUGUCGCAAGGUCCCAUCGCUUCAAAAUACAAAAACUUGUUUAUACAAACUGGAAAUGCUGAUGAAAACCGCCAUUACAAUAAACAUGCUCGCAGAAGGAGAAGCCUAGUUGUAAAAUCAAUUGCCACAAACGCUUACCAACAAACCACAACCAGAAAGAUUGAGCAUGGUUACGGUUUUCCAGUGCUCGCCAAAAUCUAUCACUGCGUCGGCAGCCCCUGGUACCGUCGGUGCCAAACUCGACCUCAACAACCGCGUCAGAACGCCAACCCCAUCAUUCUGCUGCCCCGAUCCCGCUGACUUCGCCAUCGUCAUAGCUCUAAGAGGCUCCCUCCUCUUCAAAACUCUCAUAUCUACAUCCACAUUCUCUGCUUCUUCGCGGUACCUCAAUUCUACCUGCACAGCAUCCUGCGGCACCGGCAAGGCAACCAUGAGCUGAGACUGAAGCCUGAGAGCCACCUGAUCUUCAUCGUCCCCAGCCGACCAAUCCAAAUCAAUCCGAAAUCCAAGUUCCUGACCCUGCGUCAAAAUGGUUGUCGCUGCCGACGAUGACGACGAAGAAGAAGAACACGAUGAGGAGGAGGAGACACGAUCAGGAUUCUCCGCAUCCUCUUCCGAACCAUAAUUGAGUUUCAAAUGAAAAAUCUCAGAUGGCCGUUUCCAUCCGAGUCCCCAGGACAUUUCAACCAAAUAAAAAAUUAAUUACAAAUUCGUGAUGAUCCAAUCGAGCAAUGAGGAACCAAAGUCAAAUUGCACCUUGGUUCACGGCAUGAAUACCAUUGGUCUUAAACACCAGAAAGAAGACACUGAUUCCUUUCAAGUAGAAUCGAAUUUUCUCAGAAGGAACAACGGAGAUUGAUGACCGGAGAGAUAGUCGACGGACAUUCAGGAGAGGUCAUCGUUCAUUGUUCGACUAGGAGACACCAGAAGAAGCUGACACAAAACGUUUUCUUCUUAAGCCUUUCGGAGUUCCGAUUCUAUAUAUUCAUUUACCGUUUCCUCAAGCAAGCAUUCGAUUUUUGUGAAUAAUGUGACGUCGUUUAAGCUUCUCUCCUCUUAUCUAUCUCAAUUGACAUAUUUAAAUCAGUUUCACAAAAUAUAGGUAAUGUUUAUUCUUUUUCUAAUAAAGAUAAAAAUAAAAUAUAAUUGGAUAGAUAUUUAAUAAAUUAUAUAAAAAAAAUAGAACAUUUAAUUCCAUCCAUAUUCAUCCUCACAAAGGGGAGUAUAGUUAUUUUCUCUCUGAUCAUAAUAUUUUAUUGAUUAAUUAUAAUUGACUAAAAUUUUAGAAAUAAUAAUUAAAUAUAUAAUACAAUUUAAAAAAAAUUGUAAAUAUAGUAAAAUUAUAUUUAUAGGUAUUUUAAAAUGUUAUAUUUGAUUUGAAUUAAAUGGUUAUAUUUGCAACUAUUUUUAUUUUAUUAGUUUGGAGGAAAAAAACUAAAUAUAUAAUAUUUUAAAUAUAAAUUAAUUAAAAUAUAAUUUGAGUAUAAACGACGUAAAUGAAUAAAAAUAAAGUUGAAGAAUAAAAAUGAAAUAUUCUAUUUGAGAUUUGUUAAUAUCCAACCAUGGUAUAAACUAGCGAAACAAAGUUAGAGAAUAAGUCCUUCCAAAUUAUACUCUCCGGUCUAGAAGGAUAUUGAGCAUCGUUUUGGCUUCCAUGGAUGUCUCUCUGGUGGCUGCCCAUGGUUGUCCUGGCCUCAGUACAUCACUUAACCUGCCGCGCGAAGUGGCGCGAACUCGUGCUAAUCUCAGUGCUUCCAUUUCCAGCACUUGCUUUGCUGCUCUGCGUUCUUUUAGUUUUAAUAGUAAAGCGUUCCCUUGUGAAUCCUCAACAACAGACGUGAACGUUACACAAACUGCAACUAAUUCUGCAGAAAAUGGGUACUGCUAAUUUUCUUUCUCGUACCUUCUUCUUUACUAGUUUGAUUGCUAGUUUGAAUGGGAAUACUGUCGCUUAAUUAUGUUUUAAUAAUAGUAUAAAUGUGAGCUUAAGACUUGUUAUGUAAGUUGUUUGAUUGUUUUUUUCAAUGGUGUGCUGAGAGACUUCAUCUUUGGUCGUUGAUUUGGAUUAGGAUCUUGUUUUUCUUUGUGUAUUGCAUGUCUUGUGGUAAAAGUUGCAGAAUGAUAGCAAAAUUCAAGGUUGAGAAAAAUAAAGGGAAAGAGAAAAAAGAAAACCCAUGGCUGAUGGCUUAAACUUUAUGUGUUAUAUAUGGACUAUGGAUCGCGAGCAUUGAAUCCAUCUCCACCCGUUGGCACUUGAAAAACUCGUAGAUGGCGUCAAAACUUACCUUUUAGCAGCCCCAAACUUUCAAUUUUGCCUUCUACUGUCAGAUAAAGAAGAAUAAAAAGGUUUCCUGGCACCUUUGCUGAUUACUCUGUUAGAUGCUUGAUGCACUUGCAAUAAUCAUGGAUUCAUGAUUUGUUGUUGGAUUUUUUCAUUCUCCAGACCUCUGGUAUUGAUUCCCUUUUAUGAUUCCUUUAGGAUUUAGCAUGCUCCGAUUGAAAUUAAUUUCAGGUAUCCUCAAUAUCAUCGUUUGCUUCCAUGUACCUCAUUCAAUGUCCCACCACGAGUUGAACAUCUGGUCGUUUUGGAAGGGGGGCCUGUUAUGGAAUACAUCUCUAAAUCCUUGGAUCUUCCUCCUAUGUAAGUUCUAUCUUUUCGGUUGAUUAUGCAACAUAGUAUUAAGUCUACUUUAGACGAAGCAAUGAAUAUAGUUUCAUUGUUUGAAGGUAUGUUGCAGAUCUCAUUCAUUUUGGUGCAGUAUAUUAUGCCCUAGUAUGCCCACAGCCUCCGCCAACUGCAUCCUCUGAGGAAAUUAGACUAUUCAAAAAAUUUACACAACCAUCAUUUUUGAUAGGGCGAAAAUCUAUCAAGGGGAAAACCUUGAGAGAAGCACAGAAGACUUUUCGGAUAACUCAUAUUGAUGAGUUUGUGGAAGUUGGAACAUACUUACGUGUUUAUGUGCAUCCCAAACGCUUUCCAAGGUGAAAAGAACUACGUGUUUUUCUUUUCAAAAGUAAAAUAAUGUUUAUGAUGGAAUGAUGCUAGUGGAAAUUUAUAAUCAAUCAGGUGCUAUGAAGUUGAUUGGAAAUCAAGAAUUAUCGCUGUGACAGAUUCCUAUGUGGUUUUGGACAAACCUGCUGGUACAUCGGUCUGUGGUUUGAACGCUUGAACCAUUAAUCUCUGUCUUGUAGAAUUAUUUGCAUUGCCUUCUAUUUGUGGUGGCUGUUGGUAGUUGCAUUGUUUCUUCCUGAAACAUUCUGCGAAUAUCCAGAAUAGUAUAUGCAUUUUGGUAAUAUGGAAUUUACCUAUGUAUAACUGAUUACGUAAAUCACAACGCUCGUAGAGAAUGACAAAUUUUAUUUGCAUCAAUACCAUCUAGCGGACAUUCAUUUUUUAGCUGUUAAGAAUGACAAUUGUUCUGUCAGGUUGGAGGCACUACUAACAACAUCGAAGAAACUUGUGUAACCUUUGCAACUCGUGCUUUAGGAUUAACAUCUCCUUUGUGGACUACCCAUCAGAUUGACAACUGCACUGAGGGCUGGUAAUGAUGUUUCUUAUAGAUAUACUCAUGUCUAAAGUAAUGCCUCUCUUCAAAAUACUUAUUUUCAAUCAUUUACACUUUUCUGCAGCGUCAUUCUUGCUAGGACAAAAGAAUAUUGCUCCAUCUUCCAUCGUAAAAUCAGAGUAAGUUUCAUGGUCUUAUUUCUUGUGUUAGACCAUUGCAAUCACUCUUUCCAUAUUGUGGCAUAAUUUUUUUUUUUUUUGGAGGGGGGGGGGACCAUCUUCAAAUCUCUGUUCUUUCACUCAUUUUCCAGUCUAUCAUGUGUGUUGUAUUUUGAAUAUGAAGUAGUUAAAUAUUUCCACAUAUCUUCUUCAUUCUCACAAUACUAAAAACUAAAAUAUAAGAAUGCUCCUAUUAUUCUCUCUCUAAAUAUGAAGUCUUAUCUCUAUGAUAAACAGGCACCAAGGGAACGAGAGUGAAAACUAGUCACAAACAUUACAUUUGAGAUUUUCAUUUUUAAGCACUUUUCAACAAGGGGAACUGAAUAAGAGAAUUAAAAUGGAUUUCUAUUGUGAUGUGUUCAUGAUAAACAAAGAUGCACAAGCUGACAAGUUAUUUUAUUUUUAAUGGUCUUGGUAGAAUAUCCAUUAUACAUAUUUGAAAUUUUAGUAAAGUUGUUUGUGUUGAUGCUUUUCAUUUCUUAAUUUGAUACUAAUGCUUUACAAAAUUUUCUUUAUAGGAGAAAAAGGUUACGAAGCUUUAUCUUGCUCUUGUUGCGGUUCCCCUGCCAAAGGGAAUAAUGACACACUAUAUGCGGCCAAAUAAUUUGGCUCCUAGACUCGUUUCAAGAGGCAAGUUUCACAAUCAAGCAUUCAAAUAAUCAUUGGAUAUUGCUUUGAACUAUUUGUUCCAAUUUCUCAUAUUGGGGAACAUAUGUCUACAGUUUGAUUAUUGAUUUGCAGCCACAAACUCAAGCACCUAGAAAAUCAGUCAACUAUUCUUCCAGCAAAUUAACAUGCAAAUUGUCGUCCUAGUUAUUUAUAUUUUAACUCCCUCCCAACCUGAUGCCAAGAAUGGACACCUAAACCUUCAACCCUGACCACAAAUGUAUCCGUACCAAGGUGUGAUAGGCAGUUUACGUCUUUUGGUCACUUUAAACAUCUUCUUGCAGAUUGUAUUGACGGAUGGAACUUGUGUCAGCUUGAGGUGUUGGAAUGCAGAGAGGUUUCAUGGCCAGAUGCUGAUAUUGAAGCAAAAUACAGUAUUGAAGAUUGUGGGUGGCCCUCCAAAAAGAAAGCAUUUGAAUGUAAAAUCAACCUCUUGACUGGUCGGACACAUCAGGUUUGUAGCGUAGUAGUCUUUCUGUUUCUGCAAUUGUCUUUGUUAUUUUGAAACCAUCUUCAGAAACUCUUACAUUCAUUGUUCUUAAAAUAGACACAAUAUUUCCUGAUGAUGCAGAUUCGAGCACAACUGGCUGAUUAUGGAGCACCAUUGGUUGGUGAUUCCAUCUACAUGCCUGCAGCAGUUGCAGAGAUGGCUAAUCCUGGGUUGAAUCCAUUUGGAAAAUGUAAGAAAGAGUAUACAAGCGAAGAAGAUAAAGAAAAUGCAGUGGCAGAGUGGAUUGCUCUUCACGGAAAAGAACCAGCAGUUGCUAUUGGACUGCAGGCCUAUGAGAUUUCAUGGGAUUCAGGGGAGCACAUAUACAAUGCUGGUACUCCAUGGUGGAGGCAGGAACAGUUAUAGCUCGAUAUCGACUCCAAGCCAUCAUUUUGCAUUAGCCAACAUUCUCCAAAUCUGGAAGGUUAUUUCUACCACCCAAUCAGAAAAUAGUUGAGAAAGAUUCUAGGUUUGUUUGGAUUGACUUUCUAAAUGCUCAAAACACUUUUUUAAACAUUUUGAAAGUCAAUCAAAACAUGCCUUUUAAGUAUUUUGUAUUGCUUUAAAAUCAAGUUUACUAUUUACUAUACAUCUUAACCAGCUUAGUAUAGAAAGUUUAGGAACGAAAGUAACACCAUUCAAUGAUCAAAUCAGUCGUGUACAGGCAGUUACCUUAAUAAUUCUCAUAUAACACUGGGGUGCUGCUUGGUUAGAUCACUUUCCUUGACGCAACUGCGAUGACAUUGUGACCCAUCAAAGUUCGGAAAAGAAAGCUUUGGAGUUCUCUUCAGAGUGCGAUGAUAAUCUUCAGGUAAAGCCCAAACCUUUCUGUUUGUAUAUCCAUUCGCCCAUUCAAAUUUGUCCAGCAAAGACUUAGGGAAUGUUCCCUCCCACGUAUGCUCCUUCUCUGAGCAAGCACCGCAUUAUAUACUAUCGGGAGAAGCUUCAAUUCAACCAUGGCCGCACAAAGAGAAGCUCUGGUUUUGAAUUGGACCAUUGGAUGGAUAUAGUUAACUCAAAAUUUUUGUUUCUAUAGAUACUCUGUGCCUCUGUGAAUGUAAUCAAAUUUGAUGUUAUAUCUAUGAAUUCAAAAGUAUAUUCUAUGAGUGGUGUUCCUCGAAGCAUUAGAUCUUUUGUCCAGCCCUUCCUCAAUCAUGGAGUGAAACUUUUUUGGGGCUAAAGCCCUUUCUCUAAAAAGUUAUUUGGUAAUGAAGUUGACACACUACGGUUUGGGUAUGAACUGUUAGAAGGGUCAAUUUUCCUUUUAAUUAUUUUACUAAUUCAGCUCUCCCUCAAAGUAGUUAAUUGCUCCAGUGACAUCAACUCCCUAGAAAUUACCCUUUCUCUCAAAAUGAAAUUUUGAAUUUUUAGGUUCCUAUUCUGGAGAGGCAAUUUUUCUAUUUAUUUUACCAUAAAAAAAAAGAUUGUACAAUUUUGUCUUCUCUACGUGAAUUCAUUUAAUAUUAGUUUUAGUAUUUUUAAGUGUAAUUUACAUAAAUCUAACCAAAUCCAGAAUGUUUUUGGCCCGAAAAGUCCCUUUACGAUCAUUUUUUUUAUAAGUUCCAUACUCUGCCCUUGCGAUUUAUUUAUUAAUCUCAAGUCAUUUGGUUACAAUUAAGACCCGUGAUCGAAUAACUAAAUGUAAAAUACUUUCAUUUCGAGGUAAAGUAUGUUUUGAGAUCGGAUAAAAUAAAUGUAGAAUUCUUUCAUCUCGGUGCUAGUAAGGUUCGAGAUCUAAUAACUAAAGAAAAAUUCUUUUAUUUUAGGGCAUUGUAUAUUUCACUUGUGAUCAAUUUAUCAUAGUUGACUUGGAUAAUUUUGAUAUUAACCUUGUGGACUUUUUUCGUUUUCUAAAUUGUUCUAAUAUUUGAGAACUUGUUAUAUUUGUGAAAAAAACUUAUUUUUAAAUACAAUUUUGGUAUUUCUACGUAAAUUGGUUUAAUAUUAGUCUUAGUAAUUUUAAAUAUUUAAAUAUAUUUGUGGAAGUAUAACUUAGAAGAGAGAAAUUAUUUUAAAUAAUAAAACUGAUAAUUUUAUUUUUACAAAUAUAGAGAAUUUUAUUAAAAAUAAUGUGUUUUGUGUAAAUAUUUUGAAAAAUAGGGUUGUUUAAUAAGAAAUUAUAAGAAUAAUGUUGUUUCCAAAACUAUUCUAAAAAUAUGUGUCUUUUUUAAAUUGGACGAGUCGUGUACGGGGCACACGACUUCGUGAAUGUACAUGGACCCACGUGGACUGAAGUCGUGUACCAGGGUACACGACUUCCUAAAUAAUUUUUUUUAAAAAAAGUUAUUAUAUUUUAAAAGAUUAACUAUUUUUAAAAUAAAAACGUUUGUGAAAGACGGAUUUGAAAUUGAUGAACAAAAUUUUUUAAAUAAAUACUCAACCGAAAAAAUGGAUGAACAAAAUAGGAAGAGGAUGAACAAAAUAGGAAGAGGAAAGGUGAAGAUAGGAAGAGAAAAGGUGGAGAGAGGAAGAGAAAAUUUGAAAUUGGGACGGAAAAUGAAAUAGGAAGAGAAAAGAGGAAGAGAGGAAGAGAGGAAGAGGAAAGAUGAAAAGAAAAAAGAAAUAAGAAAUUUGAGAGGAAGAGAGAAAAAACGAAGGAAGGAGGGAGAAGGAAAGAGGGUGAGGAAAAACGAAGAGAGGAAGGAAAAAAAGGAAAUUGAGAACGAAUCAAGGAUUUUUAGGGUUCUUAAAAUGGUCGAAGUCGUGUACCCCUACAUGACUUUCUACAUGUGCGACACGUGGCUACACCAGUGAAUCGUUGACUCACCGUAUGGAAGUUGUGUACCUCGUACACGGCUUCGACCACUACGCGGCAAAAUGUGCCAGCUGCAUACACGACUCCAAUCAAAAAACGUGGGCCUGGUCCAGGACUCCAGUCAGAUACAGUAGGUUCGGUCCACGACACCAUUGGGAUUUAUUGAAGUCGUGUACCCGUACACGACUUUAGUCACCUACUUUUUAAAUUUCUUUCCCAACUACCCUAAUUUUGUAAAUACUUUUUAAAAACACAUUAUUUUUUAAAAAAAUCCCAAAUAUAGCUGUUGAUUUUAUGGAAUCAAUCUAUAUUUCAUUCAUUACUUAAUAGAGAUACAAGCCUAUAUAUAACCAUAGAGAAAUACACUUAAGGAAAUAAUAUCAAAUAAUAUCUCCAAAAUAAUAUCUCCAGAAUAAUAUCUCCUAAGAAUAAUCUAAUUAUAUUAAUACCUUCCCUCAAACUCAAGGUUGAAAUCACAAACUUGAGUUUGCUAAGAACUAAGAAAAGAAACAAUAUAUCUAGAAUAGAAUAAAAAAACCCGAAGAACAAACAGACAAAGAACUUCUAGGUUAAAACAAACCCACGAAAAACUUCCGGGAUAGAAACAUAGAUCCUCGUAUAGAGAUCUAUAACAGAACCUAGGAAGAACGAAACAAGAACUUCGGGGGGGCAAACUGAAAGAGCAAAACUGAAGCAAAGUAGAAUCAAAGCUGGACGAAAAUAGGGUCGGAAUUGGACAGAAGUGUUUUGUCGGAUCAAAGUGGAACCGAACGAACUAAACUAGAGCAAGUCAGAAUCAGAUUAAACGGGAAAUCUGGGGCGAACAGAACGGAAACUGAACUGAAUGGAGCAGAGAGGCUUAGCGGAUCUGAACAAAAACAGAAACGAGGCGUCGUUGGAUCUGGGCUUCGAUCUAAACUUUGAAGGCAGACAUGAAGGAUGGGUCUGAACGAAAUUAGACAGAUCUGGAACAGAUUGGAGGCAGACGCGAGGAUCUGAGGACAUGGGGUUUUAUGGUUUUGUUGGGACAGCGUAAGGAGAUGGAGCAACGGCAACGAAACGCAGCGGCGAGCGGAGCUUCUUGGACGACGGAAAAAACUGAAACUCUUCGGCUGGGCGUUCGGCUUCAACUGACAGAGGUUCAAUCGGUUGCUUGGCUAACGGAAAAACAAGAGGUCGGACGAAGAACUAUGAAGGAGAUGGCCGCCGCAGACGCUAGUGAAAAACGAAUGGGGUUUCUGGGGUUUGGAUGGUGGCAGAUUUGAACAGCAAUGAGUGACAAAGGGAAGGUGCAACGACAACGGCAAAUUUGCAGAUCUAAGGGGCGGCUUCAGCUAAUGGGAGAUGAUUCUGCCUCCGUUGAUGAAUGAUCAACGGAGGCAGAGAUCAAACGGGAUGUGGAGGCUAGAAUUCAAUAAGGCGAAAACCCUAGAGCUCUGAUACCAUGUUGAUUUUAUGGAAUCAAUCUAUAUUUCAUUCAUUACUUAAUAGAGAUACAAGCCUAUAUAUAACCAUAGAGAAAUACACUUAAGGAAAUAAUAUCAAAUAAUAUCUCCAAAAUAAUAUCUCCAGAAUAAUAUCUCCUAAGAAUAAUCUAAUUAUAUUAAUAAUAGCUAUACAAACAUUAAUCUAUAAUGAUGUAGGAAAUGAAAAAGAAAAUUUUCAAUUCAUUUUGGUAUAUUGAAAAGUGAAAACUUUGUUUAACGCUAGUUUCCCCAAACGUGUAAAAUCAUUUAUUGGCAAAUUUAGGAUAGCUAUAGCAUCAUCUUGGUCUCAUCAGCCCAUCCCAGCUCAAAGACUCCAAAGACUCCAUAGGAUGCUGGCUUCCAUGAAUAUAGCUCUGGUGGCCACCCAUGGUUGCCGUACCCUCAGUAGUACAUCACCAUCCCUGCUCCGCACAUUGGCAAGACCUCGUGCUAGUCUCAGUGCUGCCAGUUCCCGCGAUUACUUUGCUCCUCGGCGUUCUUUGGGUUCGAAAAGCAGCGCAUUUCCUUGUAAAUCCUCAAUAACAGAUGUUACAGUCAAAACUGCAACUAAUUCUGCAGAAAAUGGGUGCCGCUAAUUUUCUUUUCCUCAUUAUACCUUCUUGUUUAUCAGUUUGAUUGAUACUUUUUUUUUUUUAUUAUUUAUUUAUAUAUAUAUAUAUAUAUAUAUAUAUAUAUAUAUAAGACGUUUGAUUGAUAGUUUGAGAAGUUACACUGCUGUUUAGCUGUGUAUUAAUAGUAUAAAUGUGACAAAACGACUUACAUGUUUAAAUUGUUUUAAUGUUUAUUUAGUUGUUUGUGGGAAAUUUCAUAGUUGGUUCUUCUAAGAUUUCUGGUUUAUUUAAAUCGAUGAAUUGGGUUAGUAUCUUGUUUUUCUUGUGGUAAAAGUUGCAGAGUAAAAGCUAAAGUGGAAGGAAGAAGAAAAAAGAAAGUUUGUAAUAUAUUUGGACUACAAACUUACAAGCACUGAAAAUUUGCAUUAACUGACUUACUUGUUCGUAGGUCCAAUUUAGUUUGCCUUCUGCUGUCAGAUAAAAGGGGAAUAAAGGGGUUUCCUAGAACCAUCAAUUCACCACAGCCCAAAAGUUUAAGUUGAUGAGUUGGAAUAGAUAUUAAUUGAAAGGAAAUGACACUAUAAGUUUAAACGCAGAACUGACCUCCUACCUUGAUAGUAUGUUAAAUCAAAUCACCAUUCAAUUCAGAAGCUCAAGUUGAAUGGUGAUUGGAUUUUUUUCAUUCUCCCAACCCCUUGUAUUGGCUUCCCAUUUUAUGAUUCUUUUGGGAUUGGGCUUGCUGAGACUGAAAUUAAUUUCAGGUAUCCUCAAUAUCAUCGUUUGCUUCCAUGCCCCUCAUUCAGUAAACCUCCACGAGUUGAACAUAUGGUCGUUUUGGAAGCAGGACCUGUCAUGGAAUAUAUCUGUAAAUCAUUGAACCUUCCUCCUCUGUAAGUUAUACUGCUUUUUGUUGUUCAUAAUAAUUUAUUCUGCAACAAAAGGUCAAGUCUAAUUUGGAUGAAGCAAUGAAUUCAUGCUUUCAUUGUUUGAAGGUAUGUUGCAGACCUUAUUCAUUUUGGUGCAGUAUAUUAUGCCCUAGUAUGCCCACAGCCUCCUAAAACUGCAACCCCCGAGCAAAUUAGACUAUUCAAAAAAUUUACAGAACCAUCAUUCUUGAAAGGGCGAAAAUCUAUCAAAGGGAAAACUGUGAGAGAGGCACAGAAGACUUUCCGGAUAACUCAUGUUGAUGAGUUUGUCGAAGUUGGAACGUACUUGCGUGUUCACGUGCAUCCCAAACGCUUUCCAAGGUGAAAUCAGCUAUUUGUUUUUUAUUUAAUAAAAAACGAUGUUCAUAGUGGAAUGAUGCUUGUUGACAUUUACAAUUAAUCAGGUGCUAUGAAAUUGAUUGGAAAUCAAGAAUAAUCGCUGUGACAGAAUCCUAUGUGGUUUUGGACAAACCUGCUGGUACAUCGGUCUGUAGUUGAACACUUGAACUGUUAAUCUCUGGCUUGAGAAAUUACUUUCACUGCCUUCUAUUUGUGGCGACUCUUGAUUUUUGCAUUCUACCUUCCUGUGACAGUCUGAAAAUUUGAUCAAGAUUGACAUAGGCACUAGGCAUUUUGGUGGUAUGGAUAAAUUUACUGAUCUUUCAGUAACAUGCCACCUCUCAAGUAAUAAAAUUUGAUGAUGUAAACAAUAAACCCUAAUAGAGAAUGCCACCAUUCAUUUGCAUCAUUUUCUUUUUGUUAAUAAAACAAUUUAUUUACAUAGUACCAUCUAGCUGAACAUUCACUUCUUAGGCUUUAAGUAAGACAAAUAUUCUGUCAGGUUGGAGGCACUACUGACAACAUUGAAGAAAGUUGUGCAACCUUUGCAACUCGUGCUUUGGGAUUAACAUCUCCCUUGUGGACUACCCAUCAGAUCGACAACUGCACUGAAGGCUGGUAAUUAUGUUUCUUAUAUAUAUUUCUAUGUCUAAUUCUAAUUCCUCUAUUCAAAAGACUUGUUUUCACUCAUUUACACUUUUGCAGCGUCAUUUUUGCUAGGACAAAAGAAUAUUGCUCCAUCUUCCAUGGUAAAAUCAGAGUAAGUUUCACGGUCUUAUUUCUUGAGUUUGACCAUUGCGGUUAGCUUACUUUACUAACUGGUAAAAUUAUUUCCAAGACAAUGCUUAAAAGUGACAGCUCUAUUCCCUUAAUGUAAAGUAAAACUAUCUUUUUAGCCAUAUUUAAAUCUCUGUUUAUUUUCUCCUUUUCCAUUCUUUAUUUGUGUUGUAAUUUGGAUAUGGUGUAGUAAAAUAUUCCUGCCAAAUCUUCAUUGUGCUCACUAUACUGGUAAAAUGUAAAAAUGGUCGUAUUAUUCCCUCUCUAAAUAUAGUCUAAUCUGUAUGAUAAAGAUGUCUAUUAAGGGAACAAGAAUGUAGGCUAGUCCUUAGACUUUGCAGUUGAGAUUGUCAUUUUUAAGCACUUCACAACAAGGGGAGUUAAAAUGAAUUUUACUUGGCGAUAAUUCAUGAUAAAAAAGCUGCACGAGCUGAUGAGUUAUUUUAUUUUCAGUGGCAUUGGUAGACUUUCCAUUAAUCAUCAUACACAUUUGAAAUUUACUCGUUAAGUUAUUUUUCUUGAUGUUUUUCAUCUCUUAAUUUGAUAGUAAUGCUUUACAAUUCUUCUUAAUAGGAGAAAAAGGUUAUGAAGCUUUAUCUUGCGCUUUCUGCUGCUCCCGUCCCAAUGGGAAUAAUAACACACUACAUGCGGCCAAUUAAUAUAGCUCCCAGACUUGUUUCAAAAGGUAAGUCUCCCGAUCAAGCAUUCAAAUAAUAAUAGGCUGUUGCCUUGAACAAUUUGUUGCAAUUUGAUAUGUUGAGGAACAUAUGACCGUUUAAUUAUUAUUUUGCAGCCACAAACUCAAGCACUUAAAAAACUAAUCUUAGCUUUUCUGCCAACUAAUUAUUAAUAUACAAAUGGAAUGGUCAUCCCAGUCAUAUUAACGUUUUAACUCCCACCGAACCCGGCACCUACAAUCUCAACCCCCAAACGUAUCAUGUAUCCAUAAUAAGUAUUAGAUAGUAUGUGGUUCCAUUCAAAACCAAUUGUCAAUGAGAGGAGUCCCAUCUAUUUUAUAAGGAGUGUGAGGUCCUUUGAUUUUAUCAAUGUGGGAUUCUUCUGGGUUCACCAUUUCUUUUUUAUUAGACCGAAUACCCGUUUGGGUUUUUGAGGCUCUUAUACCAUAUUAGAUGUUUGGGUUUUUGAGGCUCUUAUACCAUAUUAGAUGAUGUGAGAUUUCAUCUCAAAACCAAUUGGCUACAAGAGGAGUAGUUCAUCUACCUUAUAAGAAGUGUGAGUUCCUUUGAUCUUUCCCAUGUGAGAUUUCCAACGAUAAAGCGUGCUUGGCAGAAGUUCUCUAGGUCGCUUUAAACUUUUUCUGCUUGCAGAUUGUAUUGAUGGAUGGAUCAUUUGUCAGCUUGAGGUGUUGGAAUGCAGAGAGGUUUCAUGGCCGGAUGCGGAUAUUGAAGCAAAAUACCGCGUUGAAGAUUGUGGAUGGCCCUCCAAAAAGAAAGCUUAUGAAUGUAGAAUAAACCUCUUGACUGGUCGGACACAUCAGGUUCUUAGUGUAGUCAUUCUGUUUCGGUAGCUAUCUAUAUAAUUUUGAAACCAUCUUCACAAAUACUGCAGGCAGAGAUGGGACAUUGAAAACAGUUCUUAAAAUGAAUAUGCUGUUUCCUCAUAUGCAGAUUCGAGCACAGCUGGCUGAUUGUGGAGCACCGUUGGUUGGUGAUUCCAUGUAUAUGCCUGCUGUGGUUGCGGAGAUGGGUAGUCCUGGGUUGAAUCCAUUUGGAAAAUGUAAGAAAGAGUAUACCAACGAAGAAGAUAAAGAAACUGCUGUGGCGGAGUGGAGUGCUCUUCAUGGAAAAGAACCAGCCGUUGCUAUUGGACUGCAGGCUUAUGAGAUUUCAUGGGAUUCAAGGGAGCACAGUUACAAUGCUGGUACUCCAUGGUGGAGGCAGGAACAGUUGUAGCUCGAUGUUGACUCCAAGCCAUCAUUUUGCAUUAGCCAACAUUCUCCAAAUCUGUAAGGUUAUUUCAACUGCUCACUGCACACACGGAAAAGAGUUGAGAAAUAUGCUCUUUAUUUUGUUUUGCUUUAAAAUCCAGUCUUUUGUUUACAAAUAUAUCAAAACCAUCUACAUCUAUAGCCAGCUUAGAAAGUUAAUAAUCGAAGCUAACAGCAUUCAAUUAUUAAAUCAGUCGUGUACAAGCAUUUACAUUGACAAUUCUCAUAUGGUAUAGGGGCGCUGCUUGCUUAGAUCACUUUCUUGGACACAAUUGCACUGACGUUGUUGCUCAUCAAAAGUUGAGCAAUGAAAUUUUUGUACCAAAAGGUUGAUAGCUUGGGUGUUCUCUUCAGAGUUGUAUAGUCUACAUGGCAAAGCCCAAACCUUUCAGUAUAUCCAUUCAUCCAUUCAAAGUUAUCCAGCAAAGACCAGGCAAAGUACCCUCUCACAUCGGCUCCUUCUCUGAACAAGCAUCACAUCAUAUACAAUCAAUACAAGUUUCAACACAAUCGCAUAAGGAGAACCUCUUGCUUUCUAUUGGACCAUUGGAUGUAUGUUAUUAGUUAGAUUCAAAAUUUUCAUUCUGUACUCCUAAUGUAUGUAAUCAAGUUUGAUGUUAAAGCAUGAAUUGGAAAGGAUGUAAUCUAGUGUUGUUCCUCUAAGCAUUAUUUCUCGUCUUUUCCCAGUCUCGUCUUUUGCAUGUCUCCUUAGAAAUUAUUGGUCAAAAUGACUCUGUUUCUGACUAUUUUACCCCUCCCUCAAAAUAGUUAGUUGCCCAAGUGAAAUCAUUAUCCAGCAAAGAACUAGUCUGUUUAGUAUUUAAUUGAAAGAUUUUGUUUCUUCAGGAUGGAAGAAAAGAUUUUGAACCAUAGAAGCUAAGAAGCACGAACACUUCAAUUUGGAUAAUGUGUCUGUGUUCGACACGUGUUGGACACUUGAACACUCUGACACUUGGUGGACACCUAUUGGACGCUUGCUAGUCCAACAAAUGUAUUAGACAUGCAUAGAUCACCUAUUGAUUAGAGUAAAAAAACACAUAUAUGACAAUAGUGAUAACAUUUGAGCAUAAAAUACAUCAAGUUAAGUCUUUUAAGCAUAUAAAUGCAUCAAUUCAUUUAGUAUGAAUUUUCUUUUACUAUAAAAAUGAUAUAUAUAUUUUUAAAAUGAAUAUUUUAAUAAACGUGUCCUUGCCGUGUCGAGUACUAGAUUUUUAGAAUAUGAUGUGUCGUCGUGUCCGUGUUGUAUCGUAUUCGUGUCCGUGCUUCUUAGCAUAGAUGGGUAGUGAAGUUUAUGGCAAAGUUCUUUGACCAUCUAAGCCUGUCCAAGAGAAACUUAACGACACUCAUUUUUUAAGAGAAAACUUAGAGAUUCUUUUUUAAAGAAUAACGUCUUUCUAAAUUUUCAUUUAUUUAUUGAGUUUUAAAUAUAGUAUGCAAUUAAAAUGAUAGUUGUUUAUCCGUUAUUUUUAAGAAGGAUUUCCCUUCCCAUAGGAAAGGCCAUGUGAAGAUAAUUUUUCUUUUAGAAGGGGAUGUUAUAAGGAGAAGGGCAAGAGAUCAUCUAUAGGCUAUAUCUUAGAUAUGGUGAGAGGCUUGGAUGAAGAGAAACAAAAUGAAAGGAUAUAUGGAAGACAUUAAAGAAGUGGAUGGUGCAUGUAGAGAGUAUUGUAGCACUGCUUAUACCUCAUUGAUGUUUCCAAAGCACCAAGGUAACUUCUCAUGUAAUCUAUUCUUCCGGUAUCAUCGAGUAAAUCUUCAGUUUGAUUAUUGGGCUUGUUCUUCUGCCCAUAACCUUCAUGAAAAUACCACAGUUCUUCAGGAGGAAAUGCCACAAAUAUAUCACCAAUGGUUUAGAUUUUGCCUUGCCUUCUAAUCUACUUACCAUUUUCUGUUACAAAUAUGGGUACAUUGUAUCUCUCCUUUAUGUAUGUAACCAUCUUGUUCAUUCCUUGAGGAUUGACAUAUAUCCAUGAAAUUUCAGUCUACAUCAAAAUGAAAAACAAGUUAUUUUGCUUGAUAUCGAUGCCACACGCUGGAGAACUGAACCUUUCAGAAUUACUUACAGGUUCUCCUAUUAAGAUUUCUUCCUUCAUCGGGGUCCAGAAAACAAAACCUUCUAUCUUAGAUGACCCCUGUCCUGGUUCACAGGAAGAAUGAAGGCAAUCUUUUGCAUAGUAACUGGUAUAGUGAUUAAUACCAAUAAAAUCAGCUCCAUUCUUCAACUUCUUUUGAUCUUCAGUUGAAAAGUUAGGCAAGUCAAGUCCCAGAAUUUCUUCCAUUACUGCUGGAUAGUUUCCAAAUACAAUUGGGUCCAGGAACCUUCAUUUGAGUUGUAAACAAUGUGACUUAUGGGCAAUUGAAUGAUGACUUUUCUCUUUUUGUCUUUUACAGGGGCCAUGAAGUGAUAUGUUAAAUGUGAAGGAAUUUAAUACAACGAAGGCAUUGAGUUUUUUACCAGUUCAUAUAGAAAGAGAGUGCUCUUUCACUUGCUAAUAUGUCUUUAAAUGAGUCGCUUAUAGGCUCAAACCACACAGCAUUGAUAACUAUUCCGAUUAGACCUCCUUGUUUGGCCUGCAAACAAGAUCAUUCUAAUUAAUAACAGAUUCUCUCAAGAGUUAAAAGGACAGAGGUUAUCUUCUUGAUAACUUGAUAAACAACUUACCUGAUAUUUGGACCGGUAAGUGUUGACCGCAGCAGCAUGGGAUAGAAUAAUAUUGUGGGCAGCUACAAAGGGUUCUCUUUCCGAGUCUCCGCUGCUGCAAUUGCCAAAUGAGCUCGAGCAACGGGAUGGAGGGAAAGUCCCUUUUCUGUAGCCACGAAUAACCUGAACAUUUGGCUCAUUGAAGGUAACCCAGUACUUGACUCGAUUUCCAAAUGACUUAAAGCAAAUAUCUGCAUAAUAUCUGAAAUCCUCUCUGAAAAUAAGAAAGUGUGAAGUGUUUUUUCAGUAUCAGCAGGAUUGCUGGGGGAAAUAUGUUCAAAACUUGAGUGGAAUUGGAUGAUUAUUAAUAGUUUGCAUCAUACUGGACUAGGGGACUCAACCAGGCUCCAUAUUUAUCUUCAAGUUUCUGAGGGAUGUCAUAGUGAGUCAAUGUCACAAAUGGUUCUAUCCCUGAAACAGAAGAAGACACAAAUGUCACAUAAAAUAUAUAGCAAGGACAGAAAAAUUGUGCGUGAUGCUUUGAAGUUUCUACGAACUUGUGAGGACAUUAAAUACCUCUUUUGAGAAGAGAAUCAAUGAGCUUGUUGUAAUGAUCAAUCCCAGCACGGUUCACCUCACCAAACCUUCCUUCUGUAGGUUCAUAAUUUAAAAAGAUACUAGUAAUUAGCCCAAGUCUAUUGCCUAGUUUUUCAAAGGAAAGUUUGUGUUUAGUAUAACAAGAAUAGGUUCAAUGCUUUAAAAGGCUAAAGUCCUCCAAUGGUUGCACGUUGGAGUGGAAUGGUAUGAGAUGUAGCCCUUAAAUAUAUAUAUGCAUGUAGAUAUGCAUUGUAUUUGUAUAUGUAUAUGUAUAUGUGUACACACAUAAAUAUAUAUAUACAGAUAUACGUUAUAGGUGUAUGUAUGCAUGUACAUAUACAUACACAUAUAUUGGCAUAACCAUGUAUAUGUCUAAGCAUAAUACUUUGCAUAAUACUCACAUAAAAGUAUAAAAAAAUCCAUGUCAUCAACCGUCCCUUAAAAAAAAAAAAACUUGAGUGUAAUCUUCAUUGCACUAUCCACAUAGUAGUAUACAAUAUCUAAUAGAAUCUACCAAGUGAAAAUUUAUUUAAUUUUUUUUCUUAUAUAUAAGGUAAAUGGGUCCAAUGAGAUUGGGUGCCUUAAUUAUUAUUGUUGUAACAAAAUUUUUAUCAUUUAUAUUUUCAUUAAUAGGAUUUGACUCGUUGCUAUACAAUUUUAUCUUUAAUGUUUUAAAGUCACAAUAGUAAUAAGUUCAAAUUGUCAUGUCUCAAAUCUUUCAAUCUUGUUCAUUUACACAUGGGAUGCAAAGAUAUUAAAUUUUAGUGAAUUUUUGUAAGGCAUAACACAAGAUAUUUGUUGCAAGUGAGGCCAAAAAUAACAUUCUUGCUUUAAACUAGCCUUAGCCUCAAAGGACAAGCUUCAAUUUUUUUUCAUUUUUUUUCUUCUAAAAAUUGAAUGAUGUGUGAGGAUUUGAAUCCUCCUUUAUUAUUGUUGUUAUUGAAUAAAAGAAGUUUGGAUCUUCAAUCCAAAGAAAUUAAAAUUGAAAACUGAAAAGAGUAUGUGCAAAGUUGGGUAGAAAAUGGAAGGCUUACCAGGUAGUAUUCUUGCCCAUGAGAUAGAGAAUCGAUAGCUGUUCACUCCAAUGAACUCCAUAAGAUCAAGAUCCUCCUGAUUUAUUUCCUCAUAAAUGUCAAACAAAAUUGAGAGUGAAGCUUGAAGAAAAUGAUAUCAAAUACUAACUUGAUAAAGAUGAUACUGAUCAACAGCAACAUCUCCAUUUGUUCCAUCCUUGAUAGUUCCUACAAAAAAAAAAAAAAAAGAAGUCCUCAUAGUUCUACUAAAAAAAAAAAAAAAACACCAAAAUGAUAACAAUAUUUAACCAAUCUAACCAGGCUCGUGAGUAAAAACAUCCCAGUUGCUAAGACCUUUACCAUCACUCAAGAAGGCUCCUUCAAACUAAAUCAAGUGAAACAAGAUUAGGAGAAGAAAAUAUGGACAGAAAAUAUAGCAGAAGAAGAACAAACAAAAAAAACAGAGUAACCUGAUAAGCAGAAGAAGCAGUUCCAAAAAGGAAAUCUUUUGAGAAUGAUUUUGGAUUUGAAACUUCUUGAAGUGGAACAUGGGUAUUAGAAGCAAUUAAAGGAGAUAGUAACACCAAAAUAUGGAGAAAAACUGGAAAAAAUGAGAAAGAAAACUCCAUAAUUGGAAACACAGAACUCUAAUUGGGCAAAUGAGAAAACGGAUUGUUUAAGGUUUGUGCAGCGGCAGAUAGAUAAAAAGUAUGGGAAAACGACUCCCCCUUUCAACUGAUUUUAAACUCAAUAAUUAUCUUUUAAAUUUCAUAACUAAUUUUAAGAAUAAAAAUUAAGUUUACGUAAACGAUAGAUAUACUUUUAUGAUUUAUUCGUGAUUGACCAAUACUUACAUCAACAGUCGUAUUCAUUUUGUAAUAUUGAAAAAACAUUAGGUAAAUUUAAGAAUUCUUUUGUAAAAAUCCUACAAGAACAAACACAAUAAUAAUAAAAAUAUUUUCAUAUAUAUACAAAAGUAUUCAUUUACAAACAUAUUAAAAUCUAAACAAGUCGUAGUAUAGAUCUACAGUUUUGGAAAUCUAAUUAACAAUCCACUAAUCUAUAUUUCCAAAAAAGAACAAAGAGCCUUAAAAUUGUUAGAAAGGUUGGGUAAUUGGUAUGAUUAAGGAUGAAGCUAAAUUGGAAAGUUGAUGAGAGAAAAAUAAAAAAAAAGAAAGAAAGAACAUUAAUUAGAAUAGAAAAGAGUUGAUGGUAGGGAUUGAAAGGAAUGGAGGAGAAAUGAAACUUUGUUCAUAAAUGGAACCAAUGUGGUCUCAUAAUGUUUGCAUCAUACCCAAAAGAAAAAAAACAAAUCAAACACACUUUUCUAUAAAUAUUCUCUUUCCUCUUUAUGUCCACAAAAAAUAAAAUGAACAUCUAAUUCAACUUGGAUAACCUUUAAUUAAUUCAUUGAUUUUUCUUGUUAUUGUUAUUAUUAUUUAUUGAAAAUUAAGUUUAUAAAGAGUAUUUCAAUCUUUUGAUUUUUAUGUCUUGUUGUUGAGUUCUUUAAAACAAUUUUACCCAAAAUUCAAAAGAAAUAUUGAGGACACCAAAACAAUAAAAAGCUUCAUAUUUGAUAUUUGAUAUUGGAUAUUUAUGAGAAAUAUUGAAAAAGGAGACCACAAAUUAGUCACAAAUUAAAUAGUGAAUUUAAUUGUUGUUGUUGCAACUCUCAUGAACGAUAUCUAUAAUUUCCCAUGUCUUUUGUUUUAAAUAUAUAAAAGUCUCCACAUUUUUUCUCCUAUCAUAAUUAUUUUGGAUCACUUCUACGAUGGCUGACCAUUUAAAUAUAUAAUCAUAUGUUGUAAUCAUUGAUAGCUGCUACCGAUGAAUAUAUAUCACUGAUAGCUACUAUCAACAAUAUCUUUUAAUCGGCAAAAUGUACCAUCGUUUUCAUUAAUAACUACUAGUAGUGGUGUUAUUAUUGGCGAUUUGCUUUCAAUCUAAAAAAUGUAUUAUCAAUUGCUAUCACGGAUAAGAUGGACAAGUGUUCACUUAAGAGUAUAUUUGAAAAUUUAAAAGUUUUACCAGUUAACACGUCAAUAUUUUCUAUGUUUACAAACAUUUUAAAACUACGCUUUAUUUUUAAAUUAUUUUUUCUUGACUGUAUUGUUUACUAUAAUUUUUCUUAUUUUUAUUAUGAUUGUUCAAAUUUCAUAUAUAUAUAUAUAUAUAUAUAUAUAUAUAUAUGGUUUUGGCUACGUUUUUAGAAUCUUUUUACAGCACGUGGGUGGGAAUCAAACUUUAAUGUGAUAACUUUAAAGUUAUCACAUAUAUUUGAUACUCGUCAAAUUAUCAUUCAUUUUGAAGAACAUAUUCCUAUUGGGUACUUAUCACAUAAAAUAGUGUGAAAUGUGUGUUGUUGAGUUAUUUUGUAACUAGUGAAGCCUGUUUAGUUUAUAUAUAUGAAUGGUAUGAUGUAUAUCUAAAACAUGAAGAAUCUUAUAAAGGAUGAUUUUUUCUUUGUUUGGGAAUGUAGAAUAAUAGUGUAAUCUUUUGGAUGUGUUGAAUUAUAGAUGUUGAUUAAAGAUGCUCAACCUGAUCUUUAGAUAUAUAUCAUGUAAGAUAUUGGUUGUUUGGUAGGAAUAUAUAAAUGCUUGAACCAAUAUAAAUGUAUAUUUACUAUGCAAAAUUUGCAGUAAUUUUUCUUCCCUCAAAGAUAUACUACUGUUGAUAGAUAACUUUUUUUCUUUAUUUAUUUAAAGAAAUGUUGACAUAUAUUAUAUAAAUAUAGAUUUUAAAAGAGAUCACUCACUCUCAUUUGGACCUCAUACACACUACAAAUAUCUAACAUACAAGGCAAAAAUUUCCACACAAGAAUGUGCACAACAAGAAACAUGUUGUUAAACCAAACUUAAUUUUCCCCUUUGUGUUUGACUUACAAAACAACCAAAGUCAAUAUAUCUAACUAUAGAGUUCAAGAUUGAUAGACAAAAAAGAAAAAAAACAACAACAAAACCAAAUCAUCAUGAUAUCAUCAUCUCUACAAUCACAAUCCAUGCACGAAUAAAAAGAAAAAACACCAAGUCCAAAAUGCAAAUUAAUUUAAUAAUUCAAUAACGUAGAAAAAGAACAUUUCUGUUCACCUUUCGACCUUCAACAAUCAGUGGCCGGCUAUCUCAACAUUUUAUCACCACGAUUAUUGGCCACCGCAAUGGACGACCACCUUGCAGCCAUCAGACAGAGUGGGGCAAAGCUUGUGAAGAUAUGCAAAAGCAUAAGAAGCCUCCUUCGAUGGAAAAUUGCUUUCCAACUUGAAAUACAGAUUGCGAGCUUCCAUCACCUCCAUAUCAGUCACUGUGUAAAAUUCAACUUUCCCUAUCUCCUUCAAAAAGCUCAAGUACUUUAGCCCUUUUUCUCUUUGGGAUUCUAGCCUGUAUGCAGUCACUUCCAAUAUAUACCAUAAGAAACAAAAAAAAAAACUUAACAUUCCUAUUAGUUCAAGUAGUAUUGAUAUCAUGUAAUAGCUAAAGACAUGAUUGCAAUAUUACUAAGAAAAAACUUGGGUGUACCUCGAGUAGUCUAACCCAUCAAUUGUGCAACCUUCUAUACUCUACUCAAUUAAAGUGAUCGACAAUUUAUUAUCUUUUUGUGUUAAAUUUUUGUAUAUAUGCAAUUGCCUCUGCACUUAAAUUUAUGAAAAUCUGUUAACUUAACCUCGAGUGAAUUUAAGUGAAGUAGUUCAAGAAAUGGUAUUUACUUACCCUUCACCUAUGGGAUGAGGUAUCAUAAUUUGGGAUGCAGAGUGCAUUAUUCCAUUAUCAGGCUGGACUAGGAUCAACCUCACAUCCUUAUCUUUUUGGAUGAAAUAAUGGUCAAGGAAGAGUCUCAAAACAUUUGAGGCACUACUCUCAAUGCAGCCCAGAAUCAGGAUAUCUGCUGUGCCGCCCAAUUUGUCCAUGCCUUGUCUCUUUGUCUCUUGAAAUUGGUUGGGCUCUUCAUCCCUAGCAACCACAAGAAGGCUGGUUUCCGACUUCCUUAUCAACUCUUUUUUUGCCUCUAAUACUGCUUGUUUCAAGUUUCCCUCUACCCAUUUCACCUGAUACUCACUCAACCAAAUAUUAAUAAUGAUCUAACCAAUAUAUUAUGUUCUUACCAAAAUAUAUAUAUAUAUAUAUAUAUAUAUAUAUUUUGAUGCAUCUUAUACCGUUUAAGCAUAAACAUACGAGACGGGUUUUUUAAAAAAUAAAAAGGUUUGACAAACUAUUAUAAUAAAUAGCGGUUAUAAUAAGUAAUUUUUCUAUAUUGCUAUCAACUUAAAAUGAUAUUACUAACACUUUCUAUCAAUGAUUGCAUUAGAAGGAUAUUACUAAUAGUAACUAUAAGCGGUCAUUAAAAGUAUAUUUUUCAUAAAGUGAUAUCUUCCUGCUAAACAUAUUAAUUUUGAAUUGAUAAAGUUUAAUUAGACAAUCAAUUGAUAUUUUUGAUAGUUACUACCAAUGGUAAUAUUCAUCAAUUGGAUAUAUCACUUAUAAUAUCUAUUAGUCAGGGCAACGAAAGAAUAUCACCGAUAUAACAUAUUUAUAAGUAAUAUCCCUAAUAGGCUACUAUAUAUCAAUAAUAUCAAUGCAAAUGCUACUCUAAAGAGAUCAGAUCAGCAUGCUAUGGAUAAUAGCUUUGAAUCACUAUUAACGUACUAUAUCCAUGUGAUACCUUCUAUUGCUAAUAGUAUAAAUGAAAUUGAUAUAAUUUCAACUUUUGUUUAAGUAAAUUAUUGAUUUUAGGUUAUUCUAUCAAUAUUUAUAUCAUUUAGAAAUUUGAUAUUCAAGUUAUCGGUGAUAAAUUCAUGAAAAAUAUGUUAGCAUAUUAGACAUGAUGUCACUAAUAGAAAUUGUUGUGGCUGAUAGUAUGAUAUCAAUGAUAGUUCCUGCGUAAGAAUAAUAAAUUGAAGGACAAAAUUGACAUUUUAAAAAAAUACCAUAUGACUAACGGAUAAAAAUUGCUAUUUUUGCAAAUAUUUAUUGUUUAUUUGUAAACUAUAUUUAUUUUCUAAUUUGUGUUGUAUGGUAUACAAUUUUUAGCUGAGCUAAUCCUAAUUUAUUGAAAAUUCUCAAUUUGGAUAUAUACUAAAUAGUUAUUGAUUGUUGAUUUAAUUUUACAAAUAUGACGUAGGAUGUGUUAUAAUAUUGUUUAGUGAAUCUCAAUUUUAAAUUAAAAAGAUUAGUUAGAAUGUCAAGUAAUUAAAUGCUUAGUUGGUGUGAUUGUCAUCAACACCAAACCAAAGUAGACUUUUUUCUUCUUCUUUUACUUAAAAGUAGAUAUAUUAUCCAAUUGCUUUUCUAUAUUCAAUUCUCUACUAUUGUAGGAAAAUAACGUUUAUAAGAAAUUGAAUCAAACAAUAACUUUUUUUUUUUUUUUUUGGAGAGAACAUAAAUGAAAAGACUGCAUACAUAAAAUGGGAGGAAUUAAAUUCGAAUUUUUUAUAUAGUUGUAAAGGUGUCAAAAUUUUAGGAGAGUUGAAUAGCUAAAAGCUGACAUCUAUCAUAAUUUAAGAGUCACAUUGAGAAUUGAUUUUAAUUGAUAUAUGAUAAUUUUGGUAACCAUUAAGAUUCUCUCCUUGUUUAAACGUGAUCUAAAGUGCAUAAUUAAAUGAUCUCAUCCAUAAUUUUGGUUAAAAAGGAUAAUCUGAUUUAAACGUACCUGAGCACCUAACGAAGUGAUUAACUGCAGAUUUAAAGACUGCUUAUUGAUAUCUUCAGAUCCCAUGAAAAUGGUGCAAUCUAAACCAUGUCUGUGGCAAGCAGCUGCAGUGAUAAACCCGUACAGCUGGCCUUGGCUGCCCCCAGUGGCCGCAAUCACGCUCUUUCCCUUGCGCUUCGCGGCCAUAACCUUUAUGAUGACACUGCUAAUGAUCUUGUGGUCACGAAACGGGUUGAUCAGUACAUCUCGAUCUCUUUUUAUGUAAAUUUCAGGACCCCUUCCCUCUUCGUUUCUGUACUGCUUUGUUAGUCUCUCCGCAAAACACACCUCCAUCUCUCCCCCAACGAAAACCCUCGUCUCCUCCACCACCUCCUCCUGCAAUUACGCCAAAAUCAUUAAAAUACCAUUUUCAUUAUCCUAAGUUUGUUCAAAAGGACCGUUGAUAUUAUUAUGUUAUAGUAAUUGGAUUAAAAGUAAUAACAUAUAUAACAACUUCUUAAAUAUUUUACAAAUAUAACAGAAGCCGUAACAUUUUAUAUCAAUAAUAGAAGAUCAGUGAUGGCAACAUCUGUUAGUUCAUUAACAGUUUCAUAAACUUUUCUUAGACUUUUCUGUAUUUACAUUUUAAUUUUUAAAAUAUUGCUAUACACUAAAUUAUUAUUAUCUUUAGAAUUGAUAUUUGUUAUCUCUAGUUUAAUUUUCGUCUUGUAAUUUUGACAAGUUUUUCAAAAUCAAAAUUAAUUAAAUAAGUGAGUAAUUGCAAUAGAUUGUACUUUUAGGACGGAUAAUUACGUGUGUAUCAAUUUUUUUAAAAAAAAUCUCGAUAUAACAAUAUUUAUCAAUCAAUGACAGAAUUCCAUUAGCUAGAGACAAACUCUCACCAAGAAUAUCAUCUUUUAUUUAUAGACUUUUGAGAGUUGGAAUGAAAAUGUAAAUCUCUUAAUUAGUAGAUAAAUAUAUUUUCAAGAUUUAGAGUAAACAUGUUCAAUCCAACAAAUUUAAAAUAAAAAAAAUAAUUAAAAGUCUUUAUAGUUAAUUAAAAGUAUAUAUAAAAAAGGGUCUUUUUAUUUAAAAUAUAAAAAACGAUUGUUUAGAUUUAGUUGGAACCUUUUUUUAGAUAAGAUUGAAUCGUUUAAAUUUGGGUAGUCAAAUCUAAAUCAUUUUUUCAAAACAUGUUUGAUAGAAGACAACGAGUUGUUUGUACACAAUCUGACUAUUUUUGGUAUUUGGCUAUCGAUAUUUUAACUAUUUUUUCAUGAUCUUUUAUAUUUAACACAAAUUUGAAUCAAUAGCUAUGUGAAAAAAAAAUUGAGUAAAAAAGACAAUGAAAAAGAAAAAGAAAAAAAAGACAACAAAAGAGCAAACCUCAAAUAUUUUAAAAAAUGAGCUGACUUCAUGUCAUUUUUGUUACACCCUGAAUAUAUUAUAAUAUUUAUGAAAAAUAAUCUAAAAAAACUUAGAAUAUAGGAAAAUCUAAAAUUGAAAUUAACCUCAAAGUAAGAAGACGUUAUUUUAACCUAAAGGUAUAUUGUAAUGUAAUAAUAAUAAAAAAAAAUUGCAAUGAUCAUGGACCUGGAAUCCGUCGGUGUAAAAAAUGUCAAAUUCGUCAUCCAUCUGUUUAGCUACCAUAUGAAGGAUUCUAGAAUCCAGCCGCAGCUUCCCAUCGAAAUUCCCAGAAUUUCCUAAUACUUGCAUCUUUGUUUUUCCCAUAUUCCUCUUUGUCGUCGAAAAAGUGUCUAAUCCAAUUCCUUUCCCAAGCUUUACAUGGUUUGAUCUCCAUAUGCCUGUGGCCCCAACUACUUGGUUGGUCACUGCAGCAUUGUUCACCAUAACAACGCUAAUGCAUGCCAUUUUUCUCGCUAUUAACUCUAACCAAAAUUUAAAAUGGAUUUGAACUAUGUGACAAACGAGGGACACCGGGAUUCGUAAUAUAUAGAGUGAGGAAUAUUUUUGUACCCAGUCCAACUUCAGUUUGUUGCACACAGAGUGGAAAAUAGAUGGAAAUUUCAAAAGAAAUAUUAGUAUGAACAUAACACGGUCAAUGUGUGUGUACAUGUAUUUAUAUAUAUAUAUAUAGUUUAGGUAUAUAAUAAAUUGAAUCUUGUUUUGUCCAAUGUGUUUGGCCUCAGUCAACCAUGGCUGAGUUCUCAACUUAGAAGGGAAUUAAUAGAACCGUCCAUUACCAACCCCUCAAUCUCCCAUAUAUACAUAUAUAUAUAUAAUAGGAUCCCUAUAAUUUCUUUAGUUUAGCACAUAACGAGGGUGCUUAGAGUUGUGCGAACCUAAUCGAGAUAUAUGUAUACGUCUAUUGUUUCUCUCUUCAUUUCUAUGUUGGGUUGUAAAAAAAAUAUAAAAGUUAUACAGUUUUAUUCUACUAUUUAUGUGAGAUUGACCUUUAAAGGUACGUGAUCUAUAAAAAAUUAACUUUUUAAAAUCUAUAUUUGUUGAGAUAUAUAAGUUUAUCUGAACAAAUAUAAUAUAUAUUUACUCUAAACAGAAAAUAUUAGAUAACAUUUCUAGAACUAUUUGAAUGUUUGGAGAGAAAAAGGAAAACAUUUAUGUUCAACUUUUAACCUUCACGCCUCAAUGAGCUCUUACCAUUUUAUCACCACGUCCACCUUGCAGCCAAGCAAAGCGAGGCAAAGCUUGUAAAGAUAUGCAAAGGCAUAAUUUGAAUCAUUCUUCAAUGAGAAUAUUCCUUCCAACUUAACAAUUAACAACAUUAUAAGCUUCUACUGCACUUUCAAUUUUACCUGUCUCUCUAAAAAAGUUCAACUACUUUAGUUUAAGCUUUCAAGUCAAUCGGUAAUUUAAGAUAAUAUUAGGAUAGGUAAUCAAAGAAGGUAAUGUUAUUUUCUCUCCAAUUAAAAUUAAUUUCCAUUUGGCUAAUUAAUUAAAAUGUUUUCACACAAAUGUAUGGUACAGCAAGUGGAAAAGGGAUGACCAUGUGAAUAUAUGUAUAUUAAGUAUAUAAUAAAUCCGAUAGUUUUGUCCAGUGUGUUUGGUCUCGGCCUACCAUGGCUGAGCUAGGUCUUAACCUAGAAUGAAUAGGACAGUUACCCAACUCUUCAACCUCCUAUAUAUUAUUAUCUACACAUAAUAUAAUAUGUACUACAAUUUUAACUUUUAUUGAGAGUUUCAUUUUCUAAUAUAUAUUGUUUGAUGUUUGCUACAAAGAAUGGUGAUCAAUGCAACUCUAUUUUCACAUCAAACUAAAUUAUUAAUUAAAAACUACCCACGUUAUGAAGGUUUAUAGUUAAGUUGAUGCGAGCUUUAAUACUUUUCUUCAAUUGUUGUUAACUUGUUCCACGUGUAUGGCCUCAGUCAAGCAUUGCAGAGGUCAAUGCAAAAGGAAGAAAAUGAGCCUCGUCAACUCCUCGGCCUCCAUGUUGAACUAAAAAUAUGAUAUCAACAUAUAAGCAAUAGGUAUGCAAGUUUAAAUUUCAAUUGCAUUUGGUUUAAAAGAGAGAUUCUCGUUUUUAGAUCUUUAUGUAUACUUCACUUGAUCACAAAUUAACGAAAGAUUAAUCUUCACUUUUGGUUUUGAUUGUGUCGGUAUUAGUCUUUGUUAUGAUGUGAGGAGGAGGGUAGAUUUUUCUCAUAUAUCUACAAAUAUAUUAUGAUGAUAUAUAUUUUCUAUAUUUUGGACAUUGAACACAUCUCAUAACUUUAUCUUUCUGUAUUUGUUUAGAAUUUACAGUAUCUUUUAUCUUUGAAUGAACUAAGUUAAAACUUAAACGAAAAUAAAUAUUUUAAGAGAUCACAAAAACCAAAACAAACAAAAAUGGAGAGUACAAAUAUGUGUAUAUUUAAUUCAAAGUAGUAUUAAGAAUAUUAUUGACCAAUAAAAUUAAAUAAAUAACAUGUCACAUAAAAUUUUUUCAAGAUAUUAAAAUAAAAAUUUGAAAAGAAAAAGAAGAGUAUUACCCUUCCACACAUUCUCAAAGGCUAUUGUUUGCUCGUUUCUUUUUAUGAAUAAAGUUAGCGAGGGGACAGGCCACUGUAUAAUCACACGUUGUACAUCAAGGUGAUUGAUGUGCAAUUUGGGGUCAUAAUUCUUAGAGCACUAAUUUAAAAUCAAUAAUAAUUAGUGCAUUCCGUCAAAUAUGAGCGAACUUAUGUGGAUGAAAUUCCUACAAAAGGAAAAUACAGCAGUCUUAAGGUCCCUUCAAGAUAUUAUUAAAGGUGUUGAAUGGUUUCUCCCUCACAUUCAGUUAACAAUGGUGAUAGCCUCUCUUUUUUGGUAUGGUUCAUGGCAUGACAACAGCCCCCUGUCUCUGUAUAGGCCUAGCUAGAUCAUAUGCUCUAUCAAACAAUAAAUGGGGCUCUAUUAGAGAGAUGUGGAAUGCUUCUGUUCUUGAUUGGGAUCUCCAUCCGAGAAGAACUUUGAGGAGCUUAGAAUUACAACAAUGGAAUGAAUUGAAGGCUUCCCUUACUGCCCCCCAAACACAGUCGCGGCCAUGAUAUAACUAUAUGGAGACUGAAUUCACAAAUGGUCUCUUCACUAUUGCUUCUAUUAAAAAAGCUAUUUACAUCAGUGAUCAAAGAGACUUGAAUAAUAUUGACCCUACUAUAUCUUUAAAAAUAAGUGGAAAUCGAGCCUCCAGAGAAGGUGCAAAUUUUUUAUUUGGGUCCUUCUCCAGGAAUGCAUCAAUAAUAUAGCUAACAAACUACCAUAGAAGACUUUCUAAUUGGUGCAUGAAUCCAAACCGGUGUGUUUUUUAUGUAAAGAGGCCGUGGAAGACAUCAAUCAUCUCUUCAUUUCCUGCAUCUUUGCUAAAAAAUUAUGGAAAAACAUGGAUGCCUUGUUAAAUUGGAAGAACAACUUCUAGAAUACUACCUCUCUAUGCAAGUAUAUCUUCCUAUCAACACAAAAAGUCAGGAAAGAUUCCAUCAUCUUCAACACUGUGGCUGUGAGUCUGUGACUCAAUGGUCUAUAUAGACGGAAAGAAACAGUAGAAUCUUCAAUAAUUGUGAAAAAUCUCUAGUUGAGGUUUGGGAAGAUAUUCAAGCUCUCCUAGGCCAUUGGUUUAGUAGAUCCCUCAUUCAAAUUACUCUGCUAGCUCUAUAGCUAUUAAUCUCCAUGCUUUGGUCUAACUUGUAAUGUUAUUUGGGCUUAUCUCUAGUACUUAUUUUUAUGUUUUUCUCUUAUUAUUAAUGAAGUGGCCAAAAUGAUGAUAGUGCUAAGAAAGUAUCCGUCUAGUGAAAAUAUGUUGAUGCACAUUUUCUAACCCAAAAUUCGUAUUUUUUUAAAAAUAAUUUGUGCAUUCAAGCUUUUUUUUUUUGUUGGUUUUUUUUACAUUUUAGAAUUAUAAUGUGCUACAUUAUAAACGUGGUAUAUUAUAUUGGCUUAGCUGUAUUAGUGCAGUAUAAUGGCUAAAGAGAAUGCCCAACGUUUAGCAUAGUGAUUUUUUUUUUUACUUUGUUAUAAUUCUUUUCCUCUUGUUUGCAACUUUUUCAACAUUAAUUUUUGUAUUCUUUUAUCGAUUUCUAAAAUAAUGAUGACAAUCAUUUCCAUUUAUACUGGUACGAGACUUUUUUAGAGGAAUGAUAAUCAUACACCCAUAAAGGAUUGUAUAUAUACAAACUCUAAUAAUUAAUUAGUCAUUGGUUGGAUGAAAUCUAAAUUGAUUCUUAUCUCUUUUGUUUGUAUAUAAAUGAAAAAUAAGCAAAAACAAUAAUAACAUAUUUAUUUACAAGAAAUAAUAUUGAAAAUGAGGAAUUAUAGCUAGUGGUUGUGUUGGUGAUAGUUGAAAACAAUGGCAGCGUCUUUAUCACCACGCCCACUGCAAUUGACGACGACCUUGCAACCGUCGGGCAGAGUGGGGCAAAGCUUAUGAAGAUAAGCAAAAGCAUGAGAAGCCUCCAGCGCUGGGAAUAUGCCUUCCAGCUUGGCUAGGAGUUUGUAAGCUUCCACUGCCUCCGUGUCCGACGCCGUUUCAAAUUCAGCUCUUCCACUGUCUUUUAGAAAGCUCAGUUCUGGCCCUACUCCUGGAUAUUCUAGCCUGCGUUUGUUCAUUUUGAAUACCCAUCAUUAAUAACAUUAGCUAUGCUAAGAUCUUUCAUUCUAGAGAUAUAAGAUUUUUAUCUCCUUGUCAACAAUGUUUUACUAGGCCUAAUUAUUUGAAUUCACUGUCAGAUUGAGCUUCAUUCAAAGGUAAUAAUCAAGUUGGGUAUUUACACACACGAUUUGAAAAGCAUUUCAUUUUUUAAACUUUUAGUUUCACUUUAAAAAGUUUUGCUAACUUCAUAUAAAAAAAAAGUUCAGAUGUUUUUGAGUUGCACUUAUUUUUAAUGAGCUGAAAAACAUGCACAUUUUUUUAAAACAAAACCAAAUAGUUAUUGUCUUUUUUUUUUUCUUUUUAAAAUGAGACUAAUUAAAAUGUCUUAAAAGGUAUCAAUUGGUGUCCUUCCCAUUUAAGGGAAGAACACUUUUCUUUAUGUAAGAACAUGAUGUGACAUUAUAUAUGUCAAGUCACCAUCUUUGUCAAAUGUGAUAGCAAAAACAAUUAAACAAAAUUGAUUCGCAAUAUAUAUUAUAUUAAUAAUAUACACCCUUCCAACAUGAUCUAUAAAACUUACCCUACACCAACGGAAUGGGGGUUCAAAAUCUGGCCUUCAUCGUCUUGCAAAAGGUAACUCAAAGCUCCAUGGUAGACCCCAACAUGGCCUUUAGACAAAGUUGCAGAAUGCUUUCCACUAUCCAAGCCGAAUCCGGCAGCCUCCACUCCGAUCAGCCUAACAUCUUUUUCAUUAAUGAAUUCAUGGAAGAGUCCCAAAGCAUUUGAGCCACUACCAAUGCAAGCCAAAAGAACAUCUGGUUUGGCUCCCCAUUUUUCCAUGGCUUGUCUUCGCGUCUCUUUACCAAUCACGGACUGAAACUCCCUAACCAUGGCGGGACAAGGAUGUGGACCCACCACUGUGCCCGUUAAAUAAUAGCUCGUUUCUAAGUUCCCCACCCACCCUCUUAUUGCCUCUGAUGAUGCGUCCUUGAAAUUUCCCUCCACAGCUUUCACCUGACCCACAGUAGAUAAGAUAUGACUAUUCAAUAUCAUAUCACACCCUCUAAAUAAUAAUAACACACAUUUUUUUUCAAAUUCAGAACUCUCUAUUUCCGUAUCUUACUAAAUAGAUUCUUUCUGAAUUAUUAUAACAACAACAACGUCCACAGUUUUUGGAUUGAAUACUCUAAAUGAUAAAUAACCUUCUAGUAGAUUCUCAAUUUGGUCAAUAAUCAUUUAAAAAUGUUUUUAAUUUAAAAUAGAAAAUCUGACUGUUUGAGCCCGCUAUCUCUCCAUUUGUCUCAAAAAACAACCUACUUGUAUCAUUUGUACGUUGAAAACAGGAAAUUAAAUUUUACGUAGAACCACUAUAGAUUGAAUUAGUGACAUAUCUUAGCCCUUUAUCAAGGUCAAGCCUCCUGUUUACUUAAAUCCAUGGUGGUUUAAUCUUAUGAACAUUUUAAACUCCUAGUCUAUUGAAUAUUCUCAAUUUGAUAUAGUUAUGAACACAUGUUUCUAUAUUUAAUGUUACAAAAGAAUAAUAGUAUGUAAAAGUACCUUAGCACCCAGCAUUUUGAUUAAGAGAACAUUUGAAGAUUGCUUUUUGAUAUCUUCAGUGCCCAUGAAAAUGGUGCAAUCUAAAUCAUGUUUGGCGCAAGCAGCUGCAGUGGCAACGCCGUGCUGUCCAGCCCCAGUGGCCGCAACCACGCUCUUCCGCCCCAUGCGCUUCGCAAUCAUAACCUGUGCGAUCGCAUUGUUCAUCUUGUGCGCACCACAAUGGUUCAAAUCCUCUCUUUUUAUGUAUAUUUCAGGUCCCUUUCCUUCUUCGUUUUUGUAGUGCUUUGUUAGCCUCUCCGCGUAAUAUAGCGGCGUUUCUCGUCCAACAAAAUCCCUCAGCGCCACCUCCAGCUCCUCCUGCUCACACACACACACACAACCAUUUACUUCAAUUAAUUUCUUAUUUCUCAAAAUAAUAAUAAAUUUCUAUAUAUUGAAGAUAAAUUUGAUAGAUUCAAAUUAGUCGGACAAAAAUGUUAUCGGACAUUUUUUUAGUAAGUAAUAUUUGUGGGUGCAUAUCCCAACAUCCACCUAUCUUUCUGUGUGUUUCACUCUCAUCACACCAAGAAAAAAUGGAUUAAAAUAUUUAAAAAGUAAAAAAGAACUUACAUUUUAAAAUAAGGUCUUAGAGGAUGCAGUGAGAUGUUGAAAGAUAGGGAAGCCCUAGAUGCACUUUUGGGUAUCUUCCUUUUUGUUUUUUAGAAAUAUGGUGAAUUCCUUAGUCUGCACUCACUUUUUUGUGUCUCACUCUUGAGUGUAUAAUUACAAAAGCGACUAUGUGACAAAUUCUUGUUUGUUAAAAAAAUAUUUUUCAAGUUUGUAAUCGAAGAAGAUGCAUAAAUAUGGGUGUAGCCAUGUGCAGCUAGCACCAAAGUAUAGGAGUUAGAGAGGAAAAACUAGUGUAAUAAAGAACGCAAAAAAGUGAGCAAGAAAAGCAAUAACUAAUUCAAAGUACCCAACAAAGAGGAAGAAAUAAAAAAAAGAAAAAAAGAAAGUGUUAAUUUUGGGACCUGGAAUUUGGAAUCGUUUAAAACCAAGUUGAACUCAGCUUCCAAUUUGCCCAAGCAAGUGAUUAGAGAUUCAGGCACAAACUUGCCACCAAAUUUUCCAAACUUUCCCAACUCCCCAAAUCCUAAAUUUUGGGACUUCUUGGGGUCAUCAAUCACAAGCUGCAUCUUUAUUGUUCUCAUAUAAUUCUUGUUUGCUGUGGCCAAAAUGUUUGGCCCAGUUCCUAAUUUACCAACGUUUACAUGUGAUUUGGCUACUAAUUGGUUGGUAAUUGCAGCAUUGUUCACCAAAUUGCAGGCCAUUUUUAGGUGAUUUUUUUUUUUUUUUUGUCUUAACAAGAGCGAGGGAGAAAAGAGAAGAAGAGAGAUAAGGGGAUUUGAGUUUUAAGUGUUAAAUGAGGGACAUGAAGAGAGGUUGUUUAUAUAGACAAACUUAAUUACUUUUGUGGCAAAUGUUGAUACAUGGCAAGUGGGAACAUAAUUUCAAUUCUAUUUGUCAAUGGAAAUAGUAUGAAUAACUAACAAGGAAUGAGCGUCAACACAUAAAUAAAUUAGGUACAUGAUCCCAUGAUUUGAUUUAGAUCACGACAUAUGCCUGAACUUAAUUUGUGAAAUGAAAGAGGCCUUCUUAGUACAACUGUUCUUCAAAAGUAUAGGUGUUGGUUGAGUUGUAUCUAUCUUUCUAUAACGAUCUUAGCAUGAUAAUUUAUUUUUUUUAGAAAAGUAAUAAUAUUACCAUUAUUAUUUACUAUUCUAAAAAAAUAAACUACACUUAGUAAUAUCUCUUAUAUACAUGAUAAAAUUAUUACCUGACACGAAGUUUCAUCUCAAAAUCAAUAUGAUCAACUAAAGGAAUCUCCUCCAAACUUAUAAACAUUCAAAUAUUAAUAUAAGUACUCCUCCCAUUCUAAAGAUUUUACAAAAUAGCACAUAUUCUAAAAAUCCAUGAAUUUUGACCCUUUUUACAAAAGGCUUGAUAGAUGGAAGGACAAAAAAAAAUAAGAACACUUUUUAUCAUAUUUUCUCGAAUAACUAUUGUAAAUAACAAAACUGAUAAAAAUAUAUACAAAAUAUAAAAGGACAUUUUUCAAAAUAGCAAAGUAAAUUAAAAUAUUUACAAUGAUAGUUAUUAAUAAACUUCUAUCACUGUCUGUUAAUGUUACUAAUAGAAGCAUGUGCAUGACCAUCAGUGUCUACUAUGGAUAGAAUAUGAAAAAUUUGUUACAUGUUAGUAAAUAUUUUAUUAAAUUUGGUAUGUUUGAUAAUUUUCUAAAUAUAAAAAAAAUAAGAUUACUGUAUCAAUAAUCAAUAAGAGUAGUAUAGAACAUUUUUAUUUUAAAAAAAAUGAAAUAAUGGAGAUGUGUAUUAUUGUUCUAAGGUUGAAAAGUUCAAUUUUUUGAUUAGUUACUAGGAAACAGUGUGUACUUAUGUAACACGUGGAAAUGAAAUAAAUGGUUAUUGGGGUGAUGGAUUGAAUGAUGAAAUAAUAGAUAAGGAGUAAAUGAAGGACUUCGUUAAUUUCUUGCAUUUUUGUGAAGGUGGGUUAUUGUAGGAGGACCGCUUACGAGUACUACUCCUACUGCUAAGGUCGGUCCCCAGAUUGAGAUAUCCACACAUAUUAUUGUCAAUCUAUUUUUUGAGUUAUCCAUAACAAGUACAUUUUUCUCAACAACUUCAUUUUCAUCAACGACUUCCUCUCCACUCCAUUUUCUGGAGAACAAUAUUCAUAAGAAAAACAGAAAAGAAAUCAGGAUUUCAAUUACAAAAUGACUGCAAUCUUGAAAGUUGUGUGAAAAGGGGAAGGGGCAGCUGAAAUAACUAACUAAAAGGAGGAAGAAAACUUAGAUUUAGUUUAUUUGUGUGUCUAAUGUUUCUCCAUUUUUUGUUUUGAAUUCAAUUUAUUUUACAAUAUUGUUCGUGUUUUUCUUGAAAAUGGGAGAGAGCUGGAAGAGGAAGAUGAAGA